UAAAUUAUAUUUUAACAAUUUCAACCAGUAACCGAUCGUCCCUAGCGCAAGUGACAAACAGCUUGAUGGUUGAUACUCCGGUCACAGGGUUCGAAGCCUAAUUGCUUCGCAUUUCUAGCUGAGUUUAUUUAUAAAUAGAAUAAACGAAGUUGGUAGCGUGCUACCUUUCUCUUCAAAAAAAAAAAACAACUUCAACCAGUGGUGCAUUUUGUAUCGUGCAAAUUAUAAAUAAACAUUCCUGAUUAUACUAGUGUAGUGACCCACGCGUUAAAGCGGGUAGAUACCGUUAAAGUAAAAAUUUGUAAAAAAUAAAUUAUUAGUUUAGUACAAAAAAUAGUAAAUAUAGUUUACGUUAUAGACAAAUAAUUUAAAAAAUAAAACUAUAAUAAAAAAAAAUUUAAUCGUUUCAACAAAAUUAUUCAACCUUAUUAAAAAAAGUUGCAUAUCAUGCAAAUGAAUGAUUAAAAUUAUUUCUAUAACAUAAUAGUCAAAUGAGAAAAAAAAGAAAAAAAAGUAAUCAAAGGAGAAAAAAAAAAGUAGGCCCCACUAUUUUCCAAAUUAAGGGGUAGGUAAUGUAGAUGUAUAGGUAUAGAUAUAGUUGUGUGCUUUUGUGUGUGUGUAUUUCUAUCUUUUCUGUAAUUCAAUUAUUGUUGUAUAUUAUCUUUUGUAUUGGAUGAUUAUCUGAAAGUUUUUUUUUUCUUUUUUUUGGUUGAGAAGGUUAAAGUUUUUGAACACCGGACGGGCACGAGAAGAAGAUGUCCGAGACAGAAUGUUAAGUUAGUGCCAUCCUCUAUAUUCAUUUUUCAAUAGAUAGUGUUUCACUCAGAAUUAAGGUGGGUAUACCAUCAUGUAUACUUAUUAUGCCACCAAAUAUCAUCUAGUUACGAGCUAUUCUCACUUGAGUGAGAAAGAUACACUUAUAUCUCGGAAAUAGUAAUUCCAUUAGAUUUGUGGAAUUGCAAUAUCCCUAUAACUUUAUCUGACUUAUUCCUUUCUAUCAGACCAUGCCAAGCAUACUGGAGAUGGUACCUAACAAAGGUUUUGGGAUUUUUUUUCUUUUUCUUUUUUUUAAUUGUCUGAAUAUCCUCAAGCCUAAUAUUAACCUAAAAUUAUAAACAUUAACCUAAAAUUACAUAAUUCCUAAUGUCACGAGAGGAAGCACUCAUUUUCUUUACUUUUGUUUAGGCCAAAAGGAAUUCAGCAUUGAACUUUGAUUUUGUCGUAAGUUUCGAUGUAAUUUGCUAGUUUAAUUUUGUUUCAAGUAAUUUUGUACUUAAUUUUCUGAUGUAUUACGCUAUUACUUCAGGGUUCUAAAAUUGUCAGUGUGACGUGUACUGGGUGUUUAUCAGUUUAUGACUUUGAUACACUCUACUGCUCCAUAUAUGGUCCAACAUCUGGCAAGUUCACUUAUUGCAUACAUGAUGGAUGCCCUUUUUUCCUGUAAUCUCUUUACUGUGAUGUACGCCAUAUGAUCAAUGCGUAAGUCUCUCUCCCAAAUAGUAGGUUGCUCACUUCACCUGAGUUAUUUGUGAGUUAUUUAUGAAAUUUUAGCCAACAUAGCGUUCAGUUGGUUUUAAAGAGGUUUGAAAAUAGGUUUUACAUCAAAAAGAGUUUCCUAAGCAUCUAAUUUCAUAUAAUACAAUAUAUAUGUUUUGUAUUUUUACUAUAGAAAAUACAAAUAGAAAACCAAAAACACCUCACUUUUCCUUACUUUCUCUUAUCGCUCUCUUCAUUCAUUUCCUUCUAAAACAUGCAUAUACCUAGUAAACUUUUUUCAUUGUGGCCUAAUCAAACGAUAAUCGACACAUAUUUCUUUUCCAUAAAAGACAUCCUUUUCUUGGUAUUUAUAUACAAUAACCGUUUUAUUUAAAUCUAAACAUCAAUGAAUGUUUUGUUUUAAUUAAACUAAUUUACCUCUUGAUGAGUUACUUUGUGUUGUUUCUCAAUUUUCUUUUUGGCACGGAUUCUAGCUGAUGAAGUAAAGCCCCGAUUACAUAUCAGCGAUUGUAGAAAUAACUUUGCUGCAGUCCGUUGGAGCCCACUUAAUCGAGAUGAGGUAGAAAUACCACAAUAUAUUCGCCAUUUUUUAAUUUGUUAACGAGCUAAUUAUCACAGAGUAAAAGGUUUGUUAUGAGAAAUUCCAACUUAUCUUCUUAGAAGACAUUAUAUAUUGGUUAUUUAAGGAUAAAAAUUUUGUUUUACAUUGGGUGCUUUAAUUGCUCUUUCUUAGCCUAAUGUCAUAACACGAUGUUGUCUCAAUGACGAAUUGGCUCAACCUCAUACAGUAGAAUAUGUGAAUGCAAGGCAUGCAAGGUAAAGUCAUAUGGAGAACACCCCAACAUCAAUUUUUUUUUAUUGAUACUAUGUUAAAAUUUUAUUUUGUAUUUUUUGUUUUUUGCGAUUUGAGUUAUUUACUCAAUGUAAGUGAAUAUGGCAUUAAUUUCUUUUGAUGAAAUUGCAGCAAUUAAUAAAUUUGAUAAAUAUUUCAAUUUAACAUAGUAACUCAAAUAAAAAUAACAUGAUAUUCUAUUUCUUAGUUUGAGUAUAAAUAUAGUUUAACAUCAAUGCUAACUUUGAUUCUUACAAGAUGUGUUAAUACAGUAUUUUUAAUUUUUGCAAGUUGCUUGCACAUCGUGGGGACGUCACAAAGUUUUUCUUUAUGAUGUCAACAUUGGCCUGCUUAUACCUACCACAGUAACUCAAAUAAAAAUAACAUGAUAUUCUAUCUCUUAGUUUGAGUAUAAAUAUAGUUUGACAUUAAUGCUAACUUUGAUUCUUACAAGAUAUGUUAAUACAGUAUUUUCAAUUUUUGCAAGUUGCUUGCACAUCGUGGGGACGUCACAAAGUUUUUCUUUAUGAUGUCAACAUUGGCCUCCUUAUACCUACCACAGUAAGCCCCGUAGAGAAAUGUGAUUUUUUUAAUUUUUUUAAUUUUUUUGAGUAACACCAUCAAUUUCAAAUACGGUACAGGGGGCCUGAGGUGCUCUUGCGGCACCCGAGCCUCCUCUCCUACCUGUUGUCCCUCCGCUCUGCCCCGCCGCCUCCUUCCUCUCCCUUAUUCUUGCCUCACUCCACCACCUCGCUCCUCGCCUCGCUCCACCACGCCAGCCUCGAUCUUUUUAAAUAAAAGUUGCACUGUUUCUAGGAGAAAUAGUGUAAAUACUAGUGUAGGAACCCACGCAAUGCAACGGAUAUAAUCAUAUUUGAUUAAAUUUAAUAUAUAAAAAAUAGUUUAAAAUUUUUAGAAUAGAAUUAUAAUUCAAUGAAAAACAAUGAAAGAUAAAAAAACAACAUGAGAAAAAAUUUUGUUACAUACAAAUCGGAUCCCUUUGUACCCUCAUUUAGGGCAUUUUUUACUAACAUCGACGAUUUUGUGAAAUACCAUAGUGCCCUUCAACUCCUUUUCGGCAAGUCCAUAUCUUAGCCGAUUCUUUUCGUCCUCCGAGGCCAUUAGAGGAGAGGGAUACACACCCUUUGCAAAAUUAUACAGUACAAAUUUAAGCGGUCGAGAUCGAGGGAGGAGGGAUAGGGGCUAGGGUUAGAGUUCAACUCACCUGACGUUGAUGGCAAGGGUGAGGAUGUUUUUGGGGCAUAUAAAUUAUUGCCGGUGAUAAUUUUGUUAUCCUAAAUUCGAUGCCAUGUAUCUAAACUAGGAAACUUUGCGACUCAUAACAUUCAGGUCUUGUAAGAGUAAUUGUGAACUCUAUAGCUUAUUUAAUCAGAAGUUUUUGCGGGAUGUAAAUGGCUAUUAUGUCGUCAGGAUGCUGUAUUAUCUAUAUCUUUUUCGGAGGACAAUCCUUUCUUGCUAGUUGUUGGAGGUAAAACGGGAAAACUGUGGGUAAGCGCAAAAUUAUUAUUUUCGCACUUCCUAUUUUCGUUCAACAUUUCUGAUUUGGUCCUUUUUGUUCUUCACCAGGUCUGGAACACCUCAUCCGAUCCACGAGUAAUUCGUAACUUCGGCAAGCACAAUAACGAAAAAAAGAGCAGAUCUUCUUUCUGUUCCCUGAGCAAUUUGCAUGUUUAUAAUUUUUUCUAAAGUUUUUAAUUAUUCUAUAUAUUUUAGAAAAUUUUGAAAUAGGAUAUAGAUAUCGUCGAAUAAUCGAUUAAUAUUUAUCAGUGCAGUUUUUAAGAUAGCUUCAAUUUUGAAUUUUACUAAAAUUUAAGAUAUAUAUUUUCAAUCCACUUUGUGUAUUGGUUCUUUGCCUUGUGGUUUUUUAUUCUUGUUUCCGUAUAUAAAAUUUGCUAUUUUAUUUGCUUGUAUUUCUUAAUUGGGUAAGUAACGCUGUGAAUUUUUUUUUCGGCAAACUAAAAAUGGUGAAUCAUUCAACGUCUUUUCUUUAAUAAUAGAUAUGAAAAUUUUUUCUUAAAGAUGGUGAAUUGUUUACUGUCUUCCAAAUUUCUUAUAAAAAUGGUGAAUUAUUCAACGUCUUUACUUUAAUAAUGGAUGAUUUACUGUUUCUUUCUAUUUUUCAUAUAAUUCCCAUGAUCACAUAAAAAUUUCAACAAUAUAUUUACAAUUUCAACAACCUACAAAUUUUAGUACUCUAUCCAUACAACAAUUCUAACAAUAAAAAAAAAUUAUAAUAAUCCAUAUAUAAUUCUGACAAUUUAUUUUUUUUGUUUUACAUAUAUAAUAAUAAUAAUAAUAAUAAUAUAAAAAUUAUGAAAAAUCACAUAUAAAUUAUGAAGGUGGUGAAUUGUUUGCCGCCUACCUAAUGACGGUGAAUAGUUUGAAAAUAUUGUAUAUUUUAUAUUUGGAAAUUGUAAUGUUAAGUUUGUUAUUGACUUAUCAAGUCUACGUAUAUUUUUAUUAGUAAAAUAUUAAUGGUUUCCAUAAUAAAAAUACCUUAUAUCCCUAAUUUAAUAUUCCCACCACCUAUAAAUUUACAAUAAUUUUACUACAACAGAAAAUUUUGAGGAGCUUAAAAGCCAAAAAAGCUUGAAGCUUAUCGUAAUCAAAUUUAACGGAACUAAUGUAACCUACAACCCUAAACCCUAACGUAAUCUUAUAUAUCUCGUUAAACACAUUCAAGUUCGAUAAAUUAUUCACCGCUUUCUAAAUUUUCUACAAAAGCUUUGCUUUUAAGCUGAUACUCUGAACCCUAAACAUUGCUUUUCGGAUUCAAAUUCUCCAUUAAAAUUAAAAUUUUUAAUUCGAAACUAAUAAUUUAAAAUUAAAGUUUUGAAUUUGUAUUGAAAGAUAUAAAUUUAAAACUGAAUUAAAAAUUUGAAUUGAAAUUAUUUCUCUCUCCCCCUCCCAGUUAGGGAUGUUUGGAUCGGGUUUUUAAAAAUCUGAAUCCGAAUCCGAAAACUAAAUUAAAACUCGAAUCCGGACCUGAACCGGCGGGUUUUAAAAAUUUAUACCCAUAUUCGGACCUGACCAAAAACCCAAAACCUGAACCUGGACCCGAACCCGGCCGAUUUUAAAAAUCCAUACCGUUGGAUAAAAAUCUAAAAAAUAAAAAAUAUUAAAUAUUUUAUAUAUUAUAUAAAUAAAUAAAAAUAAAUUUUAUAUAUAUAUAUAUAUAUAUAUAUAUAUAUAUAUAUAUAUAUAUAUAUAUAUAUGUAAUUUAUUCAGAUUUGAGUUUGGAUCCAUAAUUCCAUAUCUGUCUGAAUUUUAAUUUUCUAUACCUAUAGCCGAAUUCAUACCGGUUUAGCUCGGUAAACCAGUCCUGUUUGGAUUUGGGUUUGGAUUGCAGGCAUCCGUACCCAUCGAUAUCUCUACUCCCAUCCCCUCUCCUCCCCACCCCGGCCGUCGCUCUUCCCCGUUCGCGGCCGCCCACUCUCCAGUUUUUCCAUAUAAAUAUAAUAAUAACAACAAGAACAACUAUUCCUCCUCCUCCUCUUUCCCUCUCUCUCCAUCGCCGAGAGAGAUGGGUUUUGGACAAGAAGAAGAGUAAGUUUUUGUUUUUACUUAAUUUUCUUAAUAUAAUGAUAGUUUAAGUCGAAAUCGAAAUAAGACACUAGUCGCGUAAUCGGACUGAUAACAUUCUGUUUUUUUUUUGGAUUUUUUUUCCUUUUUAUUUUUUUUAACUGUGCAGUUCUCAGAGAUGUCUGGCAGCGCCGGUGAAGUCUGCCGUCGACAAAUUUCAGCUCCUGCCGGCCUUCCUGAAGGCGUGUAUUUGUUCCCAGUCUGCACGAGUUUUGUUCAUAUUUACGACGGCAGUCGAAUUUAUAGAUUGAGUUUUUUUUUUUUUUUUUUUUGGUUUUUGCAGGUGAGGGGGCUUGUGAAGCAGCACAUAGAUUCAUUCAACUACUUCAUCAAUCAUGAGAUGAAGAAGAUCAUGAAGGCCAAUGACCUCCUCGUCGCGCACCACGACCCCAAUAUUUAUCUCCGGUGAGUGCGAUUCGGUGUUUAUUCUCAUCCGAAUCGUAGUAUUUGGUCGAUGAAGAGUAUGAUUAAGGCUCCGUUUGGAUGCCGGAAUAAUAAGAUGUGUAAUGAUAACUUAUUAUGUAUGAAGAUUUUCUUGUAUGAUCGGAAACUGAGAGUUAAAAAUGUUGGAAUUAAUGAUUUGAAAGCGGAAUAUGGUGUCUAUUCCAAACAUUUCAUCCCGCUCCUCAUCUUCCAAAUACUAGAUACUUCUUGAGUAAAUCAAAGAGAUAUACUGAAUAAGAUGCUCGUGCAUCCAAAUAGGGUCUUAAUGUCUAGAAAGGCAUAAUAUAUUCGAAGUCCAAGUCAUUUUAUCAGAAUAAGAUAAAUUACCUCGUAGGUGAAAUAUACUAUCCUAACAAAUUAUGGCUAUUCUCAUGGUGUCACUAGUUAUCACUGAAUAACUUGUUCCGGCACCCAACAGGUCGUUUACGUAUAUUCGGAGUUUGAUGUUAAUGUUUGAUAUGUACAAACUUGAUUUAUUUGAUUUAGGUACACUAAUAUAUAUGUUGAGAGUCCGUCGGUGGAGGUGGACCGGGUCUCUGAGGAGCUCAAGCCCCACUUUUGCCGCCUCUCCGAUCGCACGUAAGUGGGCUUUAAGAUUUCUCUCUAUCUUCUGGUUUGCAUUUCCCCCCGCCUUAAUUUUAUGUCUAUGCUAACCAUUUAGUUAGUUUUCACUACAACUUUAUUUUCUUAUUUUCUUAUUUUUUUUGUUUAUAUUGUUAUCAUCAUUAUUAUUAUUAUUUUUAUUUGAGAAGUUUAAGCAAUUGGAAAUGGAGAAAAAAGGUGUCAGUGGGCUGUUUCUAGUAAGCUGUAAUUGUUAGGAGAUGAGGGGGUUGUGGCGGCGGUGGUUAAUACAAUAUCCUAAUAGCACUACAACCUAUAGGAGGGCCAAGUGGAUGCUUACUGAUAUUGAGAAGCAGUUGGAAAUGGAGAAAAAAGGAUGUGGGGAGGGUUGCGGGUGUGGAGAGCCCUUGUAACCUACCAGGAGUUUAGAGAGCUUACAUGAUUUAGGUCUUUCUUGUGCUUGUUUGGCCUUACUUCUACUUCUGUUUUCAAGCAUAGUCACGUCUAAUAGAGCGUUUGGCAAAUUGAGAAGUCUGGUGCUAUUAUUGUAGGUGGGAAGCUGAAAUGAGAUUCUGAGCCUCAGAAGCAGAAACUUUCUCCAUUGGAUUGCAGCUUGUACUUCUCACUAGAGAGAGAAAUUGUUGGGGGAACUUUAGUGGAGUCACCUAAAAUCACUACUCAAAUUGGAGCUAGUUGAACAACAUUAUAACCUACAGUAGGGCAAAUAGAGCCCUUAAUAAUAUUGAAUAGGUUUUUUAAAAUAUCCCAAAAAUACCUCCCCUUUGAAGUUAAGAAGUUUAUUUUUAUUUUUUAAUUAUGUCAAGAGGCAUAAUUUUGGUCCUUAGCUUAAAUUGUUUUGGUUCUGGAUUUUUUGAUGAAGGCUCAAACUGAUUUGGGAUUUGGGCGUGGUAACGCACAUACACGUAACAGCCUUAUGCUAAUUUACGGAGGCUGUUUUAGUUCCCUUCUAUGAUGGUUCAAAAGAAUUCCUUUUGUGCUAUUUUUACAGUUAUGCUGCUCCUGUGAAGGUCGACAUAGAAUACUCAAAAGCAAACCUACCAAAUAAAGUCGAGUAUAAGGUAUCAAUGUUUUCACAAGUCGAUCUUGUACUUGUCUUCAGCUACUUUGAAAGAUGCUUAUCUAUUCUAUUUGUUUCAGAGAGGUGUACUUAUUGGACGAAUGCCAAUUAUGCUCCGCAGUUCCCACUGCGUGCUAAAUGGGAAGGAUGAAGAACAACUUGCUCGCCUUGGUAAGACGUGAACUCCUCAUACAUGCCAUCAAGCAAGUUUUUUUUUUUUUUUCCAUGCUAGUGAAAAUUUUCUUCUGCUGUGUAAUUUAGUUGCGCUUAUACGCUGUUUUGAUUCUAGGUGAGUGCCCUCUUGAUCCCGGUGGUUAUUUUAUUAUCAAAGGAACUGAGAAGGUAAAUUUUUAUCUGUGUUUAUGGUAAAAUUUAAAGAAUUAUGUUUUUAUUAUUUUUUUUGUACCUAUCCUGUUGUCUUGAUUUGACUCUUUGUUUUUUAUCUUUGCUCAUGUAUGCGAAGGACGUGCUGCUAAUAUAUUUUUAUGUGUUUUUAGGUGAUUUUGAUACAAGAGCAACUUUCAAAAAAUCGUAUUAUCAUUGAUACUGAUAGUAAGGGGAGGUAUGUUGCCUUCGCUGAUAUCCUCUUUGUUAUUGUUCUUAUACUGUGGAAAAACAUUAUUUGGAGGUUCUUGUUCCUAAACUUGGAGAAAUCUUCAUCACAGUAUUUUAAUGACAAGUGGAGUGAAGUUUGUUUAUGAAGUAAAUAAAUUAAAAGAUAUGUUUAAGUUUAAAUUUUUAAUAUCAGAUGUAUGUUUUUAAAGUUUGUCUAUACCACAUUCAGUUGGUUUCUCUUUGGAUUCUAUUACCAAUUUCUUUCCCCACUCAUUCAAUAUAUUUACAACCACACUGAGAUUUUCAGAAAUCUCGUGAGGCUUACAGCCUUACACCUUAUUCUGUGAGCAUGUUGCUUAGAUACUUCAUAGCUUACUUUUUAGUGGAAUUGAAACCUGUCAAUUCUAUAACUAUCUCUCCACAUCUUUGCAAUGGUUCAAUAGUUAAAUGUAUCCAUUUGUCAUUUUUGUUUGUGUAUCAAAACCAGAUCCAUGUGCUUUAGUUGUGUGAUAGAAAAAGUUUGUUUGGUCUCAAAAGUUCACUAUUUGUUAUUGUAUUCUCAUCCUUGUCAGGGUGACUGCAUCAGUUACUAGCAGCACACAUGAAACGAAAAGCAAAACGGUUUUGUUUAUGGACAAAGAGAAGAUAUAUCUGCAACUUAAUCAGUUUGUUAAGCCGGUAUGCAGUAAAUAACUCUGUUUGUUAGGAGUUGAUCUUUGAAAAGUUUCUGUUCUUACUCUUUCUCCUUUAUAGAUUCCUAUCUUGGUGAUCAUGAAGGCUAUGGGAAUGGAAAGCGAUCAAGAGGUUGUACAAAUGAUUGGGAGAGAUCCAAGAUAUGGAUCUCUUCUCCUUCCGUCACUUCAGGUAGCCCGCUAUUCACUUAAGAUCUCUGUUUAGUUAACUUAAAUGCAAAUGCUUCUUUGCAAUUAGUUAUUGUGAUCUAUUGACGUUUACGAAAGAAGGUGCAUCUCACAGAAAUUAGUCCAUACUUCCCUAUAAGCUUUUUAUUGUAAUUAAUUUUUCUUUUGAGCUCAAUGUAGUUUUGCUCGUACGUGGCUGAAGAGGUACGCCUUGUUAAAAUUAUUCUGUACUGUUUUAGUACUUUAUCUAUGAUAGUGAAAUAGAAGAUCUAAAUACUUUUUGCAGCCUUGGUUGUAAAUGUUAUUAUUUUGAAGAGCCAUGUUUAGCAAUACGUACCAGUGGUAAGUAGCAUGGGUGGUAAGAGCAACAGUUAUAUUCUAGUAUUCUCCAGAAUGUGCAAUCUAGAUUCCCAUGCAAUUGUGUUGCUUGAUAUUAUAAUCUUUAGGUUCAAAGCCAUUGUAGAAAAUCUUUAUUUAGAAUAGCUUUUUCUAAACCAGGUUCGAAAGUCCCUAGAUAAUUUUCCAUGUUAUUGAGCACUGUGAUACACUUCAGUUUUCAUUAGUUCCCGCCCAUAGAAUGAUGAAAAAUUUCAGUGAUGGCGAUCCACCUUGAUAAAUCUAACACGAGAAAUCUCGCCUAGUUUCUUAAUUUGAGAUACCAAUUAAGCUUUGGACCUUAGAUUUAGACCUGGCCUUGAGUAUAUGUCUGGUGCGAACAUUGAACAUGCCAUAGUUGGGUUAUAUAAAGUAGCAGGGAAGUUGUAUACAAAAAGGAAAAUAUUUUUGUGGUGUUGGUGAUCAAUUGUUGGAUAGUCAUCUUGGGGAUAUUUGUUGAUGUAGUGAUAAAUAUCUUGUGCUGCUGCCUUAUUAAUGCAGCUAGUUAAUAUAAAAAAUGUUUAAGUGGUAGGAUUGCCUUCAAAUGUUUUCUCUGUGGGAACCACUUUGGUGAGACCACAAUUAGAUCAUGAUACUUUUUGUGAAGCUCUUUUAGAUGAUUGGCUAAUUGUGGGCCUUUUCAAGUUAUCCGGAUUCCGGAGUUUUCUUCCUAUUAUCUGUAUUUCUUCAUCUUAAAUUCUCUUACUGUAAGAUAGAGCUAAUGCUAAUUUACGAUGAUGCUGUAAUUCUGUUUGCUGAGCAAAUUAUGCUUGUCUACAGGAAUGUGCAUCUGAGAGAAUAUACACUCAACAACAGGCCCUAGAAUACCUUGAUGGAAAGGUAAAUUUGCAACUGAAGAAUCGGUGCCCAUUUAUGUACUUCAAUUUUAAGAUUUUCUUUUAAUCCCAAUUUGCCAACUUAAUUUCAUGGCCCAAGAUCUAGGUUGUGUAUACCACAUUGCAUGAAAUUUAGGUAAUGCUUACAACUGCACCAUUUUCCUAAUAUUUUUCUAUUUAUUUUUUCCCCUUCUUUGCAGGUGGUUUAUUCUAGUUCAGCAAGAACCGAGACUAGAAAGGUGCUUCUGUAUUUUUAAUCUUGUGAGGACGUCACAUUGUCUAGAUAAAAUUACAUACUCAUGACCUUUUUGAUAUUCUGAUUGUGCACUAAAAAAUAUUGAAUACUUGUUAAUAGAUGCUUGUAUUGGUGACUAAUGCUCCCUUUUCUAUCUAAUAAUAUGUUACUUUUUUCAUGUAUUUUUUACAGGAAAGCCGGGCAAAGUCAAUUCUCCUUGAUGUCUUUCUUGCUAAUGUCCUGGUAAUAUUUACUUUCUCAAAAUAGGGUUUGGUAGCUCUUUUUGUGGCCUUGUUCCAAGUUUCAUCUCCUUCGCAGGUCAAGGAAGGCAAAUUUCGACCCAAAUGCAUAUAUACUGCUGUCAUGUUACGACGCAUGAUGGAUGCGAUCCUGAACACUGAUACCUUCGAUGACAAGGCAUGCGGUACUUCUAACUCAUAUUGUUAUAUGCACGCCAAGUAAUUCAUAUUUUAUAUCCAAAUACUUAUGUUCAUUACCUGCUACUAAUUCUUCAACAGUUUCACUAGAAUGGGAUAAGCGUGUAUGUUUGACUAUAUGCCUUUAUAAUAUUUGCAAUAAAUUGUCUUACAAGUUGAAAUACUUUGCUGCGCAAUCUUUUGCUGCUUUUCUGUUUGACAAGUCUUUCGGUAUCUUAUGUGUUUUCUAUUUAUAAUAUGAAGCUGCCAAACUUUUUAUUUAUUAAUAUACAUAUCCAUGCAUAAGCAUGUACAUUUAAGUACCAUGGUCUGAAACUACUGAAAUUAUUCAUCAACGACUUGUUUUUACCAACUAUUUACUCAUUUACAUUAAUAUGAUUUGCCCCUUAGGAUUGUUUUAUGUUGUAAGCUGAUUUAGGGACAUAGCAUGAUGCAAGGAAUGCAACGACCAUUUUGAUAUAUUGUAAAUAAAUGAAAAUUAAACUCUGACAGGAUUAUGUCGGCAACAAGAGACUGGAGCUUUCAGGGCAGCUCGUAUCAUUACUCUUUGAGGUAAUUUGUUAUACGACCUUCACACUUUGCAGUUUAGUAAAAUUUGAUCCCAACUUUCAAUUGUUUAGUUUUUAUUUUGUUUUGUUUUUUUCACUGGUGCAGGAUUUGUUCAAAACAAUGAAUUCCCAAGCUUUGGAACGGCUGAGAAGGUCAUACGAACAGCAGAAUCGCUCGAGUCCUUUGGAAAUUUUCCCUGUAAGACCUUAAACUUCAUUUCCACUAUUCUGAUAUUAAGGAUCACUCUCUAUCUACUUUUUUAAACUCGUUGGAAUUGCAAAUAGUGUAUUAUUCUUCCAACAAUGCUGAUUGGUAAAACUUCAUGUCCACUUUUCUAAGGAUCACUCUCUAUCUGCAAUUUUUUCCUCGUAAUUUUUGAAAGUGCAAUGUCUUACAUAAGUUGGAUGAAGUUCUUGCAUUCUGUUUGCAUUAUCUUUUGCUUAUAUCUGCACGAAUUGAUAGUUUCCUCGGAAAAAUUUGUCAUUCACUUCUCUUCUUCCUCUUUCUGCUAAUAAUUAGUUGCCUAACAACUGUUGCUUUUAUGAAUAGUUUCUCCUAUUGCUAAAUUGACAUGAUUUUUUCGCAAUAGUUGUUUGUGCAAAAUAGUACUAUUUGAGAGUGUUCCAUAGCUUUGGUGUAUUCUUCUCUUUUAUGCUAAUAUCUUCCUCUUGGAUCCACUUUUCGAUAUGAUCAAAUCUUGUGUACAUAAUUUGAAAUUCAGCAUUCAUUUUCCAGGCACAAGACUUAUUUGAAAAUAUAUGAUUUCCAGUCUUUUUUGUAUGGUUCAGAUUAGUCAUCACCUUGUAAGUGUACAAUGAUGUCUAACAGCUGUUUAACUAACCGUUUCUUUUUUAUUUGUUUAUUUAUUUUUCUUUUGAUGCAGUAUUUAACUGCGGACAUCAUAACCCAGGGCUUGGAGAGGGCAAUCUCUACAGGAAACUGGGAUCUAAAGCGAUUCAAGAUGCACCGGAAAGGUGUAUCGCAGGUUAAUAUUUCUUCCUAGUUACGUUCUACAACUACAGGCCUACAUGGACUGCCAAACAAGGUUUUAAGUACCCGUCGGCAUGGGCCGUAUCCACCGUGCCGUACCGUGCCAACAAGAUACCGGCACGAUACAGAUCCCGUGCCGAUGGCACAGCUCAAAAUCCUUUAUUCUUUAAAUUAGUAAGUAAUUUCCUCAAUAAAGUUCAAAAGAUGUGAUAAAAAGACAUAAUAAAUAGUUAGAAUAUUUUGUUACUAAAAAGAAUAAAUAUUACAUGCUAUUAUGUGUCGGCACACAAAAAUUUUUUUGGCCGGUACGUAUCGGCACGGUUCGGCACGCACCGUGCCAUACCGUGCCGGCAAGUUUCCGGCACGACCCCGUGCCACGGCACUUAUGCCAAAUUACUAUGCAAUUUUUUUGCUUCUCUAGGUUCUAUCUAGGUUGUCAUUCAUUGGAGCUUUAGGUCACAUGACACGCAUAUCGCCACAGUUUGAAAAGACUCGGAAAGUAAGUGGACCGAGGGCUUUGCAACCUAGCCAGGUAGAAGAUAGUACUUUUAAUCAUAAAUUAUUUACUGCAUGAAUAUGAUUGGUUACGUAUGUUUUUUUUUUUUUUUAAAUAAAUUAAUGGGCCCAUCUUAUUUAACAGUGGGGCAUGCUUUGCCCGUGUGAUACUCCAGAAGGAGAAGCUUGUGGAUUGACGAAAAACUUAGCAUUAAUGACUCAUGUUACGACUGAUGAGGAGGAGGGUCCGCUGGUUAUUUUGGUUCGUAUUCUCUCCCUGUAUUUUCUUCCAUUUGAAAAACCAAAAUAAUGUUAUCUUGGCUUUUCCAUUUUUGGGGUUUUCAUGAUAUUCUUUGUAGGGUCUAAAUUUCUUAUUUAUACAUGGUUUCUUGUCAUAAUAUGUUUGUUGAUUAUCUGCUGGAAUUUCUCUGGACAUUUUUUUUUUUAAUGUAAUAAUGUCAAAUCAUUGAAAGCCUUCUAAAUUAGGUUGGAAAAGUUUACAUUGAAAAACUGACUAGCAGGGUAAGUCGCUUUGCAGAUAGAUAGUUUUGUAGGUGAACUUGGCUAGGAGUUUAAAUAUUCGAAAGUUUUCGACUAUCUACCUUGUCCCAUUGUGUAAGAACAUCCAAUUCAAAGAUUUUGGACAAUCACCUUAAUGCUAGCUUAUUCCGAAGGUGCGCAAUCCAAUUGUCUCACUGCCCUGUAAAUUUGUUACUAAGUAAUGCAAGUUCUAUAACAGCGAAAUCGUGUCCUUGUACCUUCCUACUUAAAUGCAAGUAAAUUAUCCAUGCUCAUGGGAUGCGAACUUCUCUAGCAAAUUUACUUUAUGGGACAAUUGUACUGACACCUCUUGAACUUUCAUGCUUUUGUAAUUAGACUUGUAAACUUUUUCUUCUUCAAGCGUGCACUCCGUCGACUUCAUAAUGUACUGUAACCAAUUCUUCCGCAAUAGUGUAAUUAAUCCUAGAUUUUUCACUCCCUCUCUCAACAACUUAAGUUUCCUAAUGGUUUCUUGUCAUGCGUCUAUGACACUGGAACUAUUGAAACUGAAGCAUUAGUAUUCUAGAAAUAAAAAAUUAGAAACAAAUCUGACAUUUUGAACCUAACCUUUUCGGCUGCAAUAAUACUAAUUGUCUUGAGAUGCUUUGUAUUUUGUUAUGAAGCAACGGAAGGAGGGAGAUAGAUUUUGACUUCACUUCAUUUUUCUCCCUUAAUGCUUCGCUUCUUUCACUUUUAUAUUUUUUACAGUAGUAUCGGAAUUUUUUAUGCUAAACACUUUGAUCCGAUAUCCAUUCAUACCCUUACUUUCAUUCGUUUCGUGUUGGUUUUAAUGACUUUCACAUCAUUACAGUGUUAUAGUCUAGGUGUACAAGACUUGUCAUCUCUCUCUGCAGAAGAAAUCCAUACACCAGGAUCAUAUUUGGUCAUAUUUAAUGGGCUGAUACUUGGGAAACAUGAGGCACCAAAGGUGUAUAUUUUUCUAUAUUACUAUCUAUGUGUGAUUAGCAUAAACUCUUUUAUCGUUCUGCUAAUGCUGUUGGCCUGUUAUUUGCAGCGAUUUGCUAAUGCAAUGAGAAGCUUGCGAAGAUCGGGUAAGAUUGGGGAGUUCGUUAGCAUUUAUGUCAAUGAUAAGCAGGUAAUAUUUUCUUAUUUUUUUCCUUCAUAAUUUAAACAUCCUGUUGCCGAUUUUUUCUUUAUACUUCGGCAGUAACUAGUCGCGUAUUUUAUGGAUUUCUUGUGUUUUGCGGCUUUCUUCAUAGGCUAUUUAGACCUUCAACUGUGUCUGUCCAAUGUAAAUUGUUUUAUCUUUUUGGCCUAUAUCCAUCAGGUUCUCUUUUACUGCCUCGCAAUUGGCAGUGUAAAUGAAUAAACAAUGAAAACAAAUUUGUUUCAUCUUGUUUUCAUUCCUCUACACUCAACUCUUCGCAAUCUUAUCUUAGUACGACCUCUUCUUUUGUCCUUCGGUGAUUUUCUAUCAAGGGUUUUUUGUCAUGCUUUAUAUGUAACAUUCACUAGACGUAUAUAGUCAUGUACUUUUACUGCUGCUAAUCUCUUCUUUUUAACUUCUACAGCACUGUGUUUAUGUCGCUUCUGAUGGUGGUCGUGUUUGUCGCCCGCUUGUGAUUGCUGACAAGGGCGUAUCAAGGAUCAAGGAGCAUCAUAUGAAAGAAUUGCGGGUCAGUGAAUUUGAAUUUUAUUAACUUCGCCAUUACUUAUUGUGUUACAUUUGAACUAUUUAUUUAGGACGCCUAACCAAAUCUAAUGCUCUAGGAUGGCCUCCGUACUUUCGAUGAUUUUUUGCGCGAUGGGUUGGUUGAAUAUCUUGAUGUUAAUGAAGAGAACAAUGCUUUGGUAAAUGACGAUCAUCUAAUACUUACGAUUUGGGUUUUUAUUUUAAAAAUUUUUUAUUCACAUUAAAGAUCUUUUAAACAAUAUUUGACAAAACUUUGAAUAGAUUGCGCUGUAUGAGCAUGAACUGGAUAAUGAUGAAUCUGGGGCAGAAAAGGAUGAUGUUAAGAGAAGUAGCAUCACACACAUUGAGAUUGAACCGUUCACCAUUUUAGGUGUUGUAGCUGGCCUAAUUCCUUAUCCUCAUCAUAACCAGUCUCCACGUAAUACCUAUCAGGUUUGUCCAGAUUUGUUUUUUAGCUAUAUCAUAAGAUUGGGAUUACCUUUCUGAUUUUAAUAUUCUUUCAUAUCAUAGUGUGCGAUGGGAAAGCAAGCAAUGGGAAAUAUUGCAUAUAACCAGGCAAGUAGAAAUUUCUUAUACUAUUUUGUCUCUUAAAUAUUUUGAGAGUAUUUAUUUCUUCUUUAAGUUUUGGUUUUACCGUCACCAAAAAGUCCUGUUGCUAUAUGACUCGGAUACAUUUAAGGUUAAGGUUUUUUUUUUUUUUUUUUAAUCAUCAUAGGUAGACUUUUAUUAGUGAAAAGUUUAGUUAUUAAUGAACAUGUUUGGAAUAUUUGGCUUGCAAACUUAUACAAGAUCUAAUAAAUCAAACAUCUCAUUGUAAAUUCAUUCUGAACCUGAUACAGAAUUAAUAAAGCAUUUAUUUUGUUUCCUUUUCUUCUUUGUAUCAUCUAAUAUUAUUCUUGAUUGCUAUACAAUAUUUUGUGAUAUACUUGUUUAUCUUACAUGAGGAAGUAAAACUUAAUUGUUUAACCUAAUGCAGCUAUGUCGAGCCGAUACUCUACUUUAUCUGCUAGUGUAUCCACAACGGCCCCUACUGACGACAAAAACCAUUGAGCUGGUUUGUAUCUCUAGCAUUGAGUGGAUAUUUUAUGCUAGCAGGCGCUAUUAGUAGAUAUGCAUCUUUUUUCUUUUUUCUCUUUUUAUUUUUUGCAGGUUGGAUACGACAAGCUUGGAGCUGGCCAGAAUGCUACUGUUGCUGUCAUGAGCUACAGCGGCUACGAUAUUGAGGAUGCCAUUGUCAUGAAUAAGGCAUCCCUAGAUCGCGGAUUUGGCCGUUGUAUAGCAAUGAAAAGGUCAUCCAUCUUUAUUCUGGAUGCUUUAUUUGGGCCCAUUUGGUACCUAGGAUUCUGUUUUGAUUGGAAAAUAUAAGAGAACGAUGUUGGGGGAGGAGGGUUCAGUAACAUCGAGGCCUUGUGAGGCGCACAAGGUUAGGAUUAUUAUAUUCGGUCGGGUCAAAUGAUCUUGUUGGGAUGGAACAAUCGAAUCCCACUCAAGAGGUUAAGAUUGAACAGCUUGGACUUUAUAAGUUCCUUUGUCUCACUGGACCCACCUCGACCCAUUGUGACCCCCUGGCACCUUUGAAUCGCUCAACCCUCCAUCUUCCCCAACAUCACUCUCUCAUCUUAUCUAAUGAUUUCAAUCCAUCUUGAAUGACAAAUAGGACCUAGAGAUUUUUAUUGUAACUCGACCUUGCUGUUGUAUUGUAUUGUUACAUUGGCAUGUUGUUGUUUCUUCAUCUUAGGUUUUUUAUAUGUGCUACAGGUAUACUGUUGUUACGGAGUCGUAUGGCCCUGAUAUUUUGGAUAAAAUUGUCAGGCCGCGCAGGAAUGUUGAUGGUUCCUUACCUCAGAAUAUGCAGGUAAGAAAUGUACUUUAUGACCAAAACAAUUUUUAAUAACGAGUCUACACAUUCUUGUCUCACCAUUGUUGAUUAUUAAGUUCCAAUGUAGACGGUUAUUGUGGUGUGCUUGUAGUUAUGUUGAUUGAAGUAUUAGUCUUAGUGUUACCAAAAUCCUUGAACCUCCCCUCCACUGCCAAAGGAACUGCGAUCCAGAUUAUGUUCCAUUUCAUGGUGGCAUUCCAAUCUGGAACGCAAUAAAUGGUGAACUUAGAAUAGCAGAAGAAACUGAAAUCUAGAUUUAAUUUGUUAGGCUACGUAGAAGAAAUGUGUCCUACAAUUUAAAUAUUGCAGAAGAAUCAUGCCUUACGAAAAAAGAGAGCUGGCUUUGAUUAGGAGAGCAAAUACUUAAUCCGAUCUUAAUGAAAGGAAAAAAACACAGAAUCUAUAUGGUAACAAAAGGUAAGUUAUUGAUUUUCUUUAUAUACGGUGAUUUGCAUUGACAUUGAAAAGAAUCACAUUACGGAUUAACUGUCCGACUAAUUCUACCCCAUGUACUACAUUACUGAGAAUCUACUGUACCGCACGUCCCUAUAGCAUACGGCGUAACACACUGUAUCCUGUUUAAGGUAACACUGAUCUGUCUAAUUUUAGAUGAUCAGUCUGUUAAGAUAAAUAAAAUUCUGAACUGAUUAAAGCAUGAUGAUUUUCUUCUCAUGAGUGUAGGAGUAGCUUUUCUCCUGUGUGUGAACACAUACACAUUAGCUGUAUGGGCACUUUUUGUCGUGUUUCCUUUGUUGAUAAGUUAAUGAGGACAGCCUUUUAGAGAAUCAUUUCUCAUGAAUGCAUGUUAUUGUCGACUGUUUAAUCACUUUGAAUUCUUACAGCUACCACUAAAUUUUUUUUAAAUUUUCCAAUAUGAUUUAGGUUACACUGUGAUGUAUAUUUUGUUAAUCGGCAUUAUUUCCACUCUGGUAUUAAAGAAGCAUGUAAUUAUCUACAGAUAUUGGAUGAGGAUGGACUUGCAGCACCCGGAGAAAUUAUUCGCAAUAAUUAUGUUUAUGUAAAUAAACAAACUCCUGUGGACAGAAAUAUUUCACAGAGAGGUGACAGGUGAGGUUUGUGCUUUUUCUUUCUUGAAAAUUGGAAAAUGUUACUUUAGUGAUUUAACAUAAAUAGCUUCUGAGAUUCUCAGAAAAUACACGGACGCACCUGUGAUUUAUAAAGGACCUGAAGGCGAGACUAUUGUAGUCGAUCGCGUAAUUCUUUGUUCAGAUACAAAUGACAAGUUAACGAUUAAAUUUAUUACCCGACAUACCCGGAGACCUGAGGUGAGUAUAUUUUCAUCUUUUUUUUUUAUUGGGUUUUUGGCUUUUUUCCCAUAUAACCCUGCAAAAUGUUUAUGCAAAUACAUACAAAUAUCCCUGCAAAGUUGGUAUUUCAAUCCAUCUCCAAUAAAGUGAUGCAUGCAACAAUAAAGAUUUUCCAAGGAAUCAAGGAUAUGCUUGCAUGCGGCAUACAUUAAAAAAAAUCCUUUUUUUAUUAUUAUUGCUUGUAGUUAGAUUAAUCUGAUCUUUUUUUUUUCUUUUUUUUUUUUUUCUUGUUCCUUACUCAUCCAGGUCGGUGACAAAUUUAGUAGCAGACAUGGUCAGAAAGGUGUUUGCGGCACUAUAGUUCGGCAGGAGGAUUUCCCUUUCAGUGAGCGGGGGAUAUGCCCUGAUUUAAUCAUGAAUCCUCAUGGAUUUCCAAGGUUUAAUUUAUUUAGUACUCGAGUAUCUUCAAAAUCUAUCCUCAUGGGAUCUCCUACCUCUUUAUUAGUGGCCUUUUUGUGCUGGGAGCUUGGGGAAAAGUUCCAUUUAAGAGCCAUACGAAGGAAGCCUUAUGCCUGUUUCAUUAAAAUCCCUGUAACAGCUUAUCACUUUGGUAGAGGCAGGGACUUCGCAUUAGACUUCUCUUUUGGGCUUAUUUGCUUAUUUCAACCUUUUCCCAUAGCAAAAGCUCUCUUCUUAGUUAGGCCGGAUAGACACUAAGCAUUUAACUUUUGAUCAAACCUAACCUACACAUUGCAAUUCGGUCAUUCUAUCCGUAAUAACUUGGUCUACUAAUUCUUUGAAUCUUUGUCACCCUUUGCCAGAUUUAGUUAAAUAUGCAUAUGAGUGUUUCGGUGAAAUUCUUAUAAGAUAGUAGCUAAUGCCAUGGAUUGGAUUUUGAAACUGUCGACUGUCUUAAGAUCUUAAGGCCUUAUCUUAAUUAGCAUGAUUUUCAGAGGUGGAGAACUCAAAGGGAAGUCAAAUUUGCCAAUUGAUUGAAUUCUUUGCUGACUUCUGAAAAUCAUGCCAGUCGAUCGAUUUCUUUGCUAAUUAGCAUGAUUUGUAGUACAAAAGAGCAUGACUUUCUUUGCUGACUUUUUUUUGUUCUGACUGUUGUAUUCUUGUCUGUAUGAAAUUAUGACUACAAUAAUUUUUUCCACCACAUGAUGGUUAAUUUCUUUGUCGGCUACUAUUGUCAUUAUUAGUCGAAUGACCAUUGGAAAAAUGAUUGAACUGCUUGGAGGGAAGGCUGGCGUAUCUUGUGGAAGAUUUCAUUAUGGCAGUGCAUUUGGUGAACCAAGCGGCCAUGCUGAUAAGGUCGAAGACAUAAGGUAAGAAUCUUCUUGAUAUUACGCAUAAAAUGUUCAAGUCAUGACCCUGUACUAAUUCCUCUGUUGAAAUUUCAGUAAAACACUUGUAAAGCAUGGAUUUAGCUACAGUGGAAAGGAUUUCCUUUACUCAGGUACACAUAAUUAUGUUAGUUCUAUGUGUCGUGCGCAUUAACCCUAGCUUUUGUUUGAUUUUCCAUUGGCCAAAAAGAACUUACGGAAAGCGUGAACUAGAGACAAAAGAAAAUAGAAAUUGCGUAUGAUUUGUUCUAUAGAGAUCUUAUGUUCAUUGAAAAUCCUUGAUAUUUUUUUAGACUAGCUUUUGUAAGAUGAUCUAAUGAAUACCAAAUUGAAAUUACUGAAGUCUUUUAUCAUUUUUUUGUUUUAUGCGCUUUUUGUUGCCUAAUGCUUUGUUUAUUUGAAUUGUUUAUAUUUUGGUUUGGUAUUCCAGGCAUUACAGGGUAUCCUCUUCAAGCUUAUAUAUUUAUGGGGCCGAUCUACUAUCAAAAAUUGAAACACAUGGUAUAAACUUUUCUAUUUCACUUUUACCUUUUAGGUCAUUUUAAUUCCAAAUAGAUUUGUUUUGUUUUGCUACUAACUGAUAAAUGUACUCGCCCUUGGCAGCAACAAAUGAUAUAGUCGGGCAAUUAUUUCGGGACUGUUUAUUCUAGCAAUUACAUCGCCAUCGACCACCAUUGCUAUUUGGACUGUUGAGUGCUUCAAAAUAUUCACGGAAUGUUAUGUCUGUGUCGGACCUAGGAUUUUUGGAUUCUGAAUGAGACCUUAAGUUUUUGUUUAUUAAAAUAAUUUGGCAACAGCACCAAACAAGGCCAUAAAUUUCUUACUCGUACACUCAAUCAUAUAGUCUUUGUUUAUUAAAAUGGAAAAGCAAACAUUGCCGUAAAUUUCUCGACAGGAUUAGUUGUUAGUAGGCUGUAUUUGAUGUUGAUUUAGUUAGUAGUUCUUUUCAGCUUCUUUUAAAGGAGGUUCUAAAUAUUUAAUUUGAUCUUAUUCAUCCCGUACAUUUCUUAUCGUUUUUUAAUUGGUUAGGUGCUUGACAAGAUUCAUGCUCGAGCUAAAGGGCCGAGAGUGACGCUGACCAGGCAACCUACCGAAGGGAGAAUUCGUCACGGAGGUUAGUUUCGUCGACCAUUCCCUUCUUCUAAUAUAUGAUCUUACGCGUACACAUGAUUGCCGGUAGUGUUCUAAUUAUAUUGCGCUCGAUCCUACAGGACUUCGUUUGGGAGAGAUGGAACGGGAUUGUUUGAUAGCAUAUGGCGCGAGCAUGUUACUAUUCGAACGUCUAAUGUUAUCUAGUGACCCUUAUCAAGUUCAGGUUGGGAAAAUCAUUUUCGAGUGUUUUUCCUUUUAAUUCAACACCUGUAUACAUGUUUUUUUUCUUUUUUUAAAUUUUUGUCACCUUAACUGCAAAAUGUUUGGCUCUAGGUUUGCCGCAAAUGUGGAUUGCUAGGUUAUUACAACUACAAGCUGAAGAAAUCCUUUUGUUCUAUGUGCAAAAAUGGGGAAAAUAUCGCUACCAUGAAACUCCCUUAUGCAUGCAAGCUUCUUUUUCAGGUAGUACUGCUUCCGAACCCUUUUAAUAUUCGCAAUCCUGUUUGCUCUUAUGUUUGUAGCAUGAAAUAUUAAACUUUAUUAUUUUAAAAAUGCGUUCAUUACCAAUGUAGUUCUUGGAGCUUAUAAUCUUAUUUCUGUUUUGACAAUUUAGUCCUUGUAGUUUGUUGCUCUGCUAAUCCAUCAUUUAGUUUAUGUGGUUGUUGAACAAUUAUAUUGAGAUAAGCAAUCCCAAAACCUCGAUUUUGGAAGCGGAAACUGUUCGUUUUACUAAAACUUCUUUGAGAAAGUGUAUCACAGAAUCGAAGCUGAUAAUGUCGAUUUUCCUUUUAUUUUUUGAUUGUCUCCAGGAGUUGCAGUCGAUGAACGUCGUUCCACGUUUGACGUUGACGGAAGCAUGAUUUCUAUGACGUUGAUUGGACGAGGCAUACAUUUUUGGCGAUAAAGUUGAGCUGCGACGUACUGAUCGUAGUCACAAGUUCGAUGUUCGAGACCACUUCAGCAAAGUUGAAAAAAGAAGUUUUGAAUACAUAAAUAUAUGUACAGCAAAAAUGUUUCUGCGGACAAAAACUCUGAAACUUGUUAUUCAUGACCCUUAACGGAAACGAAAUUGUAAUUCGUUUGCUGAUGAGUAAUCUGUAAAAAUCUGCUAAAUUUUCAAGGGGUAUAGAGAUUACUAACAAUUUUCUUGCCCUUUUCGUGGCUAAAAUGUCCGAGUGUUUGCAGAUUAUCCAACCUUGCACUUUACCCUUGAAAAUCUUUAUUUUAUCACAAGGACGUAUUAUUAAAUAAAAUAGCAAAGUGAUAUUUCUUUGACAAAAGAUUGGUAUAUAUAUAAUAUUGGGUUAAAUGCAUACAGGUUUUUGCAAACAUAAUAAAUUGCAAAUAUAUUUUUACAAAGUUCAACUUUUUUAUAUUGUUCCUACAGAAGUUCUAAUAUUUUCAAAUAUGUUCGUCUGAUUUAUUACUGUUAGAGAAUUAUUUAUAUUUUAAUCGCAAAUAAGUGAAAUGUUGAUUUUGCCCUCAUAAAUAUGUUCUUCCAAAAGUUAUAGUAGUAUAAUAUAAGAGGGAUAAAAAUAUUAAGUUAUCUUAUAAACUAAUUAGGGUUAAGUAUGUAACUUAUGGUUAACCAAAAUUUUCUAAUAGAUUGUAACGGUAGAGAUAUAUUUGAAAACAUUAGUACUUUUAUAUGAGCAACAUAUGAAGGUUGAACUUUGUACUUAGUAUAUGUUCGUAAUUUAUUAUGUUUGCAAGGACUCGUAUGCAAUUAACCCUAUAACAUUGCACUCUCCUAUAAUUUACACUGUUGCCAUCCUUUUGUCUUAGUGGAUCAUCAUUUAUUACAAGGUUGUUUAAUUUAAAUUGUACAAUUUUUGGCAAGUUGAGGGACCAGAAAUUAAUUUUCAACACUCAUAAAAUUCAGUUUUUAGAUUGUUUAGCAUGAAAAUAAUGCAUUCUGAUCCAAGCACAUAAUAGUAAUAAUGUUAUAAUAUCCAAUAUUUAUUGUGUCUGGAUUAGAAUGUAAUUUGCUAAGUGUUCUAGUUCCAUGAAGGAUAUCAUAUUUCGCAUAUUAAUAAUAAAAUCUGCAAAUUAAAAGAUGAUUAAAAUAGAUUAAUUCUUAUAGUACAUGAUGAACCUUGAUUAUUAUAUUUUGUGUUUGGUCACCUACAUUGAAGGAAGUUUGGGUUGCCACCGCCAAUAGACAUGAGGGAUUUCCUUAGAAACUGAAUAUUAAUAGGUACAUAGAAAGGAUAAACUUAAAUUUGUUUACUAGUGGUUUAACUCCUUUUUAUUUUAUCAUUUUAUGGUUUAAAAAGUUAUCCUUAACUACAACAUGGUUUAGUGUGACGCCCCGACUUCCCAGGGGGUCACCCAUCCUAGGACCACUCCCGUCCUAGCACGCUUAACUCUCUUAACCUCUUGGGCCUUCCCACCAUCCAAAAUGCUUAAGCCGGGUUAAGAGUUUAGCCCUAUUAUAUUUCAUAUAUAGGACUAUCUUGGGUCUCACAUUUAGCUUAUUUUUACUUUACCACGAAAUGAUUCAAAAGUUAUACAUAAUUAACUUGUGGUUAUAAAAAAAUUUCACUUUACUAUCUUAUUUCAUAGUAAAUUUUUUGCAUAAAAAUAGAGAUAAAAUUAUAAAUAAUUAAGUGUAAAUUUUGAACCACAUAGUUGCAAAAUAAAAAUGAGCUAAAUCACAUGAGAGCAAAUUAAAAUUUACCUUAAAAAAAAAAUACUAACUUUACAAUCCAAAGGGAUUGUAAUCCUACAAUCCCUUAUCCAUUCAAGGCGUUGUAGGAUUGACCAAUCCUCUCUUAGGUUUUAGUUAGUUACAUAAAAAAAAGAAAAAAAAGAAAAAAAAGACGAUAAGACAAGGAGGAAAAAGAUUUUUGGAUGAUAAGAGUUGUUAAAAAGUGUCGUAGACUAACAAAGCUUAAAAAAAAAAAACCAAGGAUAAACUUUAGAUUGACCCUGUGAUUUAGCUCAUAUUUAAUUUGGGACUCCAUAUUUUAAAAAGUUGCAAUUCUACAUUGCAGUUUAAUUUUAUUGCACCAAAAAUUUUAUGCAAGUAGGAUGACAAAAUAAAAAAAUUAAAAAAAUUACAGAAUGACAAAAUAAAAAAUAUCCUAAACUAUAGGAGGACAAAAUGCGAUUUUUUUUGAACUACAAAAUGACAAAGUGAAAAUGAACUAAACCACAAGAGGCAGAAUACAAUAUUUUAAAUCGCGGGGCAACAAAAUAAAAAUGAACUAAAUCACAAAGAGGAUUUACAACCGCUGUAUUUUAAGCCGCAUAUAUUUUAACUAUACUUUAUUUCUAAUUAUAUUCGAACCAAAGUGUGAAUGUAAAUUAGAUUUUUUUAGCUACAUGUCAAAUUCAAAAUCAACAUCAAACAGAGAGAAGUAAAGCUAAGCUCGGUCCACAGUGUGGCCAAUUGAUGUGGCGUAGUUUGGUAUUUUUUGAUUAAAUUAAGGAAGCGACUUGAAGUCAUCGUAUUGACGAGGAAAAAAACAAAGGAAGUCAUCGCGUUGCCCAGGGAAAGAAAAUAAAAUAAUAAAAAAAUAAAUCUGGGCUGAAAAAGGAUUUUUUUAAAAAAAGAUAAAUUUGAUUUUCACCUUUAUGAUUUAGUAUAUUUUAUUAUGAGAAAUAUUUUGGAACCCUUGUGGUAGGGUAUUUUUCUAUAUUAUUAACUAUAUUGUAUUUAUAAUUAUAUCCCACCAAAAUUAUCAAAUCAUUUCUAUUAAAUGUUGCCUACAAUUUCUUUAUCUAAAUAGUUAUAAGAAUAGAGCUGUUCAAUUCAAAAUCAGCAUUAACCAGAUACAAGGAAGGGUAGAUAGAUAGUGUGGCCCAUUGACGUGGCAUAGCUUUGAUUAGAGCACAUAUGAUCUACAACAUGCUAUUAUUCUACUUCUAUCUAAAAUAAAAAAAAAUUGUAAUUGAAUACGACUAAAUCAAUACAACACUCUCUGAGUGUAAAUGGAACCCAAAAUUUUCUUAGAUAUGGAAAUAUUGGUAGAGCCGUUCAAUUCAAAAUCAUGAUCAAAGCGGGGCUUGAUAGAUAGUGUGAUCCACUAAUGUGACGUAGUUUUGGUUAGAGCUUAUGAUUCACAACGCACAAAUAUUCUUUUUCUCGCUCUCAAAAAAAAUUGUGAUCAAGUAAUUAACAACUACAUCAAUCCAAACACUCUCUUAGCAUAAAUGGAAUCUAAAAUUUUCUUAGCUGAAAAUGUUAGUAGAGCUGCCAAUUCAAAAUCACCAUCAAAGUAGGGUUUGAUAGACAGUGUGACCCAUUGACGUGCCGUAGUUUUGGUUAGCGCUUGCGAUGCAUAACAUGUAAUUAUUCUCUUUCUUUCUCUCUCAAAAAAAAAAAAAUGUAAUUGAAUAAUAACCGCAUCAUUCCAAAUAUGCAGUGUAAACGGAACUCAAAAUUUUCUUAGCUGAAAAUAUUAGUAGAGCUGUCCAGUUCAAAAUCACGAUCAAAGCAGGGUACGAUCAAAGCAAGGUUUGAUAGACAGUGUGACCCAUUCACGUGGCGUAGCUUUGGCGUUUCUUGAUUGAAUUAAGAAAGCUACUUCUUAAUUGAGAUGUCCAGCCCAAAAUCAUUAUAAAAAAACAUAUACAAAGCACAAUAGUCAAGUGGGGUUGAUAGGGAGUGUGGCCCAUUAACUAAGGGGCGUUUGGAUGGACGAAUCUGUAAAUUAACGUAACUCAAGUGCAGUGGUGUUUGAGUUUUUCUGAAGUGUGAUUAUUCUUUUGUUGUUUAUUUUGACGAAACUCGUAUAAUUUGAAAGUUAAAUACAAUUACUUUUUUCUGUUUAUUUUAAUGUAACUUGAUGUUGGUGAAAUUAGUUUUUUUAGUUUUAUUGUUUGUUUUGAUGUAAAUAAGUGGAUCCCGUUAUCUUUUGAAUAUAGUGGUAAACAUACCGCUAUAAAAUUUAACCUAUUAAAUAAUUAAAAUUUUUAUUAUUAUUUAAAGGUAAUGCUAAUUUAUUAUAAAUAAGAUAAUUCUAAUCAUUAUAAAGGAAGUAGAGUUUAAGUUUUAUUAUUUAAUAAAUUUGUUAGAGAAGGUUGAGUGUGGCGGAAGUCAAGUUCGGCACUUUAGAGGGUUAAAGUGGAAAUCUAACGUAACUUGAGUUACACCAUAUUUUUGAUUUACACCAAAAUAAAUACCGAAAAUAAUGGAAUUUGAGUUCUACCCAUCCACUCACACCAAAACAAACGGCCUCUUAAAUGUGUUGCAUGUAGCGGCGUUGUGUCUAUUGUUUUUUUUUUUUUUUUUUGGAUGAACUCUAAAUUGCCAUCGUGUGGUAUUACAUAUUUUACUCCCUAUAUAUGGAUGAAGGUAGAAUUUGUGACGCUCUAUUUUUCAGAAGAGUCACCCAUUCUAGGAGUACUCUAUUUCUAGCACAUUUAACUUUAUUAAUUUUUUAGAUCUAUCCAUCAUCCAAAAUGCUAUAUCUUGAUUAAGAGGUUUAGGCAAAUUCUGAGAGUGUCACAUUUUUUUUCCUUUUAAGUCCUAACUUUUUUAUUUACGUCAUUCAUAAGUAGCUGACGAUGUGAGACUUAUCUCGCUAGCCUCAGCCGAGCUUGUGGAGAGUUGCGCUCUAUCCGCUAUAUGACCCUAGCUUAGACUCAUCUUACACUUCUAGUUGGUGAUUGGCUCUGACAUCAAUUGUGACGCUCCACUUUUCAGGGAGUUAUAUAUUCAUCAUAGAACUAUUUUAACCAUAUUACACUUAAUCUUUUUAAUCUCUUGGGCCUAAAUACUGUCCAAAAGAGUAUAGCCGGGCUAAGAGAUUUAACCACAUUAUAUCUUAUAUAUAGAACUAUUUUAAAUCUUAGAGGUGUCAUAGAAUUUUUUAGCGAAUAUCAUAAGAGAAAAUGUAAUAAAAACUUUUGUUGCAGCUAUCAUCACUUUAUUUAAUAAAAAAACUUUAAAAUUUUAUAUUCUUGAAUGAUUUUUAUUGGUGAUAAUUAUCUCCCCAACAUACGUAGCUAGAUAUUUUAUUUGACAAUAAAAAUAAAAUCUUAAGAAAACUUUAUGUUGCCUUUUAAUUUUGUUUAAAUGAUAUUUCAUAUUUGAUAAGGAUACAGCAUAAUCUAACAAAUAAAUAUAUGAAUGAAAAAAAUUGUCUAUCAAAACAUUCUAUAAUAUAAUUUUAUUUGCAAACAAAAAAGUUAAAAUUGGAAAGAAAUAAGAUGAUCAGCAGGCUAGCCACUAUGCCACAUGAGUUGUAUUUUAUUUUGGGUGAUCAAUUUUAUCAAAUUGGCAAAAAAUUAUGAUAGAAUAAAAAGAGAAAAGUGCAACUAUGGCUAUUUUGAAAUAACCUCCUGAUUUAUGAUUUUUUUUUUUUAUUGAGAUCCCUGCACUUUUUUUUUUUUGGGAAUUGAGUUAUUUUAGCUAAAUAAAUUAGAUAUUUUACCAAAUUGAUUUAUAAUUUUAUCAAAUUUAUAAUUUAACUACUUUGAACUUGUAGUGAAUAAAAUUAGAUUAAUUAAUUAUAAUUUUUAUUUAAAGAGUGUAACUUUCAUCUUAAAGGGUGCAGUUUAUAUCUCAAAGAGUGCGACUUACGUCUAUAAUAGUAGAACGUUCUUCUAAAAUAGUGUAAAUUUAUUUUAACGGUACAACUUUAUCAUCUUCUUUCUUCUUCUCUAGUUCUUCUUCCUUAUUCUAUAGUUUUUGAUUUUUAGUUAUUUUUUUUUUUUGUUUUAAGCAAAUAGAAGUGUUUGACCAGAGAUGCUCCCUUCCACCCCCUGCUCCUUUCGCCUUCGACCUCGCCAAGGCCACGCUCGCUGCUGCCAUCUGGGAUGCCACGCUCGCCGCUGCCCCGCCCUCUUCUCUGGCGUCGUCACGCUCUCCUUCGUCUCAGCAUCACUCGUUGGCGGCCUCGGGUGGACGCGGUGGGUCGCGUGCCUCCUCGCUAGCGAGCUUCUUGGCACCGAGAAGCAUUUCCUUUUCGUCGUCGACGGCGGCGGCGGUGAGGGCGGCGGGUUUCUAGAUGUCACGCCCCGGGGCCGAUUUUAAAAGCCUUUUAAAAACAGAAUUGCGGAAAACGUACCAUUUUUUUUUUUCAACCUCGCCCACGCGACGUACAUAGCCGCCACAAAUACAAAGUUCCUCUGUACACUCGGACAGAGUCUCCUUUGUAUUUGCACGGCGUACCAGCUAUACAAUAGGAUCUCAACCACAACCUACAUUUACCAAUCAACAACCAAAGCAUGAUAUGCAUUUCCAUACAGCUAACAAUCCUUAGAAUGAUGCAUGCCUCUAAGCACUCCUUAGGCGCUGGAUGAUGCAAUGCACAAUACAACAAACAUCCUAUUUAAAAGUGCUCCCCACACGGAAGCUUUUGUUUUUAAACUCUAAUUCAAUCAUUCAUAAAAACCAUUCGAAAACCUUUUUAAAACUGUUUCCCACACGGAAACUCUAUUUUGAAAACCGACUACCUCGAGGGGUAGAAAACCACGAUGCAUAACUACAAGAAAACCAAAUCUCCACAGAACCAAAACCACAGAUCGAAAACUCCAAUCUCAUGUAUAAAAGAAACCAACACCACAGUUCACAUACAUUCAAGCAUACAUAAGAUCAGCUAACUGAACCAUUAUUAAGAAAACUACUAAGUGCGGGAAAGAAAUAACCAGGGUGACGGUCGCUACUGCCGUCUAGCUAGAUCGUCCUCUCGUCGAGCCCAAAAUCCAACUCCUCGUCUCUGUCACCUGGGGGGGGGAAAGGGGGGUGAGAAACCGCAACCAUGGUUUUCUCAGUGGGUACGACAGAGCCACGAAGGCAAGUCGUAAUCACCGGAAACCAAAGGAGAUAGAUAAACAAGUAUAUAUCUGUAAGCUGAUAUGAAAUAGAACUACAGUAGCUACAACAGAUAAAUAGGAAGCAAUAAAUAAACCUGCUACUGUAUAGAAAACAAUGCAAAGAAUGCCUCAAUGUACUGAACCAGAAACUGUACCCAAUCUGUGCCUGCUGUAUUGGUCCGCAGACCUCAAGCGCUGCCUGUCACUAACUGCACCGACCUGAUCCAUCCGCCCCGCAGGACGACCCAUCCGGAUAAGUACACCUCCGAUCGGUGGCCAAACCGAUCCGGUGUCAUGAAUACCCCCAAGUGCCGUGACUAAGUCAUGCUGGUAUGCUCAAACAAAAACAAACCCGGCUAAAGCCGGUGCCUAGGCCGAAGCCAACAACGAGGGCGUACAAUGCCAAACUGAAAUAGAAGCUAGGGCGUACAACGCCGAACUGAAUAGAUGCUAGGGCGUACAAGGCCGAACCUCGAUCAACCAGAUCGAAACACACGACAAGAAAGUCGAUGUGUUGCCUGGACCCAAGGUCCACUGAAAUACGAAUGCAGCCUGCUCUACAUGUCUAUCCACAACUAUACAAUGCAAUCAAGGGGUGCGAUAACCAAACGAUAACAAGGAAUGACAUGUAGAGACUAAAUACAGGAAUAGAAAAAUAGGAGAAGGAGGUGAAACGCUCUCACCGACUACCAGCUUGAAGCACCCACCUGUCACUGUCGCGUCGGAACACUGGGUACGCACAAGUCGACCGGACCUACGAAGAUCCCAUGGGUCAGUAACCAACCCACUCACCUGAAGUACACUAUCUCACAAACCCCACACAGAACCCCGUAUCGGUUUCCCAAAACCGAUCAUCGUAACUCACCGGAAGUCCCGAAAAACACACCGGGACGCCGUCGGGACCCACUAAGUGUCCCGAACUCACCGACUCGUGCCACGAGUCACCCGCUGCCCCAAAGCACUCCAAUUUGUAUGCCUUGGCAGCAAACACGAGGUAACACAACAAUACGAUCAUCGCCGGAUAAUCGUACGAAUCCGGAUUCCCGGAAGUGUCUAUUUCGACACCGGAACCCACCGUCGCUCACCUAUCAUCAUCGAACCCACAAAGUGAUGAUGGUGACCAGCCAACAAGGCUCAGCGACAAAACACGAAGCAACCAAACACAGUCGGAAAGAAUCCGAACCGAAACCGCGUUCUUUCGGCGAAUUUCGUCGAAAAACGCACCGAAAUCGACCUACCGAUUUCCGCGAAAGCUAACGGACCAUGGACAAUCAGUCCAGCGAUCAUAACAAACUCCCACACACUGCCCACAGUAGCCACGCAAAGCACAAUUGCAUAAAAGACCCUUUAAUUACAUAAAAUAUCAUCAUUUUAUGUAAUUUGAGCGAUCAAGUGGCUCGUUCACGCAAACCGAGGACUUCCGAAGUCCGCAGAGACACGUACUGACAGGUCUCGACGUACAGGAGUCCGUGCUCAUGAUCCGGAGCACAGCGGCUCGCUGUGGGAAGCGCGGGAGCAACCCGAAGGUUCAGCGAAUAGCGCGCAGUCAGGGAAGAUCGCGCCGUACAGAACUAACCGGACACUUCUGAUCCAAGGGAAGGUGAGCAUUGUGAUCAGCACUGACCAACGAUCACCGUGCUCACCUCCGGAGGCAUCAGGACAGCCUCGGAUCGCCGGAUAAGCGUGCGCAAGCCCAAAACAGCAGCCAAAAAGGCUGAAACGGAGCGACAUCGCCAAAACAGCGGAACGGGGCCUUCCCGACAGAAACCAAGGUGAGCACGAUGAUCAGCAACUUGCCAGGAUCAUCGUGCUCCCUUCCGUGGAGAUCGGGGAAGCUCGGGAAGCCCAGAACAGUAGGCCAUCCCACAAAAGCCCCAUUUCGGGCUUGGCCGGAGCAAGCUUGCUCCCGCCGGCUUCCGGCGGCACGGCAGCGCGCGCGGAGGCCAGGGAUGGGUGCGGGGGAGGAGAGGAGUGAGGUGCUCAGCUCAGACAGCGGCUGGAAGCGGCGGCGGCGACGGCGGGGCAAGAUGAGCCCGCACGGGCUAGGGCACGGGUUCCAGGAGUUGCUACGGCCACGGCGGCGGCAGGGGAGCUCCGGGACGGCGAAGGCGGGCUGCAGGAGGUCGGGGAAGGGCGGCACAGGUGGCUCAGGGUGGCGGCGGCGCGAGGAAAGGAGCCGCACACAGCUCGGCUCGGGCUCGGGUUGGGCGGCUGCAGCCGGCCGAGGCGGCGGCGGCGGCGCGCUGGGGCGGCGGCGACCGGCGGGAAGGGGCGCCCGGGCACGGAGGGUGUCGGCGGGAGGGUUUCCAGGCGGUGGCGGCGCACAGGCAGCUGGUGCAACCCAGCUCGGCUUGAGCUCGGCCUGGGCUGCUGCAGGCGGCUGGAGCGGCUGCGGCGGCGCAAGCGACGGCGGGUAGGGUCGUGGAGGGUCGCCGGAGCACGGGCGACACCGAGGAGGGUCGAACGGUGCGCAGUCUCGGGUCUCCUCACAACCGAGAGGAGCAGAGGGAGAGGAAGAGAAGGAAGAAAGAUGGGUGAUGGCUCGGCGCGGCCGGGGCUCAGCGCGCGGCGCGCCGGGGUGGAUGCACAGGGGCAGUUGAGGAAGGUAAGUGGUGGGCGACUAGGGUAGCUGGGGGGUGGCUAGGGUUAGGGUUAGGGAUCAAAACCCUAGGAACUAAAAAUACCAAGGUGUUACUUUGCAAAAGGUCACCAAACACAGGAAUUUCAAUCUGAGAUCCUCACAGUACGACUAAAACGCGAAGAACGCCCCUCCACGUGCAUUCCCUCGCGAAACGGAUUACAUAAAAAUAUCGCGACUUUCGCGAAAAUACCGGUUUGUAACACCGACCUCAUCCUCGAUCAAGCGCGAUCUCCGCAGAUCCGUCCGUCAGAUUUGCGAACGGAUUGCACCAGUGCGAUCAGCACGACGGAGACAACAAAGCUGCGCGAUUCGUUUCGUCUUGUCGACCACGGAUUCACGACAAAAUCCAACUUUCUUCGAAUAGAAGAAACACAAUUAAAAUACAUAUAAAACAGUUAUUUUGGAUUUUCUCGAAAUCCGUGCGUCAAACUCAAAAUCCGUCAGCGUCAGUAGUUCCAGAACAGCUGACCCGGUUGAAACGAGCUAUUGGACUGCUAUGAACAGAGUCCGGUACGAGCCAGAAGCCAACUUCUCACCGCGGUUUCUCCGGAAAAUCGAGUUACUAUUCACCUUAAGUGAAACUUGAAAAUCGCGUAGAAUUUCCGUUUUAACUCGUUUUCGCCCGAAACUUGACGAGUGCUUUUGUAAUUAAAUUACACACAAAAACAUCGUCAACUGAGAGUUUAACUACACUGCAAAAAUCUCAGUCCUUACACUAGAGUGGAGAUGAAGGUGGAGGUGAGUCGCGAAGAGCCACGGAGGCGGCGGAGGAGGUUCGGAGAGAAAAAUAAAAAGAGAAUCACGGCGCAGGCUUGGCGGGGUCGAAGGCGAGGAGGGCGGCGGGUGAGUGGGCGCGAGCAAGGGUGCAUGGAAUGGACGCGAGGAGGGGCGUCCCAAAGGGCAGCGACGAGUGUAGCCUUGGUGGGGUCGGAGGCGAGGAGGGCAGAUGGUGCGCGGACGCAGGCGAGGGCUCGGGGGCCAGAGGCGAGGUGGGCCGCCUCCGCCUCCGCCUCGGAGAGGAAAAAAAAAGAACGAGAGACGAAUACAGAAGAGAGAGAAAGGAAUAAGAGUAUUUUGAUCAGUUUUCUGAAAAUUCGGCCUGAAUUUGCAAAAUCGAAAAAGACAGCCCAAAUUUGCAGAAGCUCAAAACUGGUGAAUUUUUUUUUUUUUAUGCAAAUUGGCCUAUAUAUAUAUUAAUUAAAAAAAUAUAUUUUUUAAUUAAAAAAAUAUAUGGGAGGAUAUCCGUGGGUAUCUGUAGGUUACACAAAAUGCCCACAGCUUAAUGGGCAUCUACUCGUUUUAUCUGUAUUUUUUGAGUUGGAAAAGUUGGCACUCGUACCUGUAAUUGCAGGUAACCCGCUGGUAUGGGUCGAGAUUGCGAGGUCUAGUAUAUACAAUCCUGUAUAUCACAGAAGAGGGAAAAGAAGAAGAAGAAGAUAAUAAGAUCAAACCAACAUGUUUGAGCCCCAGCGAGAACGUAUGGACUUUGAGUUGCUCAAGGUGUUGAGGAGAGAGGACGAGAUAUUCGUUAGAUAAUUCUUCUCGCAGGAUACAAAAUCUUCUGGAAUUACCUUCGAACUCUCGCAGGAUACGAAAAAUUUGCAAAUUCAAAGAUGAUUAUGUUGGUAGCCGAAUUCCCUGACCUUUGACCCAGUCAAAGAUCCUCCUUGAGGAGCGUGUCGGGAUGAAGAACGGCUUGGGAUGGUGACCCUCGAAGUUUGUGCCCUUCUAUUGAUCAAGCGAUUCGGCUGAUAAGGGAUCGGAUCAGCCGGGUUCGAAAGCUCUAUACUAAAUUCGGUUCAGCUGGAUGAGCCGAAUGUACGAACCAAACAAGAACUGAAGUCGGCCAAAGAGUCGAAUGACUAAAGAACACAGGAAUUUGUCGGCUUGAAGAGCCGAAGGCCUUUAUAUUAAUUGGUAAGAAGUACAGGGGUUGAGUGUGCCGAAUGGCAUGCAGACUCGGUUGAUUUACUUAAUGUACUACUCCUAGGAAGAACAGUAAAUGCGGGAAAGUAAAAGUUACAAGUAGACUACUCCUAGAAAAUGCAGAAAAUUGCGAGAAAAUAAGGGCGGUCUUUUGUUUGUAAAAAAAAAUCCCUUUUUAGGACGUUAUUGACCUAUUUAUAGAUCGCCCCUUGUGAUCAGUUAUUAUCUAUGCAUGAUCGGCCACUAUUCCUGAUUUUUCGAGCAAUUUUCAGCCCACUUUCAGCCUAUUGGAACCGUUUGCAACUGUUUGCGGUUAUUGUAACCUCCCUUAAUUGGCGCGACGGUUUGUUCUUUAAACCCUUUCAGUGCUCCCGGUGUACAGCAAGAUUGAUGCUUUUGAAUGGAAUAUCGGCGUACCAUCUAUCCGCGCCUAAUUGGCUCAACAGAUUAAAAUAGGCUGAUUCUUAUAGUAUAUUAUAAAUUUUGGUUACUAUAUGUUGUGUUUGGUCACCUCCAUUGGACAUGAGGGACUUUCUUAGAAACAGAAUAUUAAUAUUAGGUACUUAAAAAAAGGGAUAAACUUGAAUUUGCCCUCAUGUGGUUAGCUCAUUUCUACUUUACCAUAUUGUGGUUUAAAAAUUUACAUUUAACUAUAAUGUAAUUUAGAUUAGUUUCACUUUGGCAUCAGUUAUACAUAAUUAUUUUGUGGUUAUAAAAAAAUUUCGCUUUGAAAAAAUUUUGCUUUGCUAUCUUAUUUCAUAGUAAAUUUUUUGAAUAAAAAUAGAGAUAAAAUUAUAAAAUAAUUAAGUGUAACUUUUUAAACCAUAUAGUUGUAAAGUAAAUUGAAGUUUAUCUUAAAAAAGAAAAAAAAAAUCUUCAAUCCAAAGGGAUCGUUAUCGUACAACCCUUAUUCGUCCAAGGGGUCGUAGGAUUUACCAACCCGUUAUUGGGUUAUAGUUAGUUAAAAAAUGAAAAAAAGAAAAUAUGACAAAGAAAAAAAAGGGUUUUUGGGUAAGAAGAGUGGUAACAUUGCAAAGUCCGAAAAGUGUUGUAGACCUAACAAAGAUUAAAAAAAUAAAAAACUAGGAUAAACUUUAGAUUGACACUAUGUGAUUUAGCUCAUAUUUAAUUUGCGACUCCAUAUUUUAAAAUGUUGCAGUUCUGCCAUUGCGGUUUAAUUUUAUUUCACCAAAAAAUUUAUAUAAGUAGGACGAUGAAAUAAUUAAAAAUGUUUAAGAAAUCACAUGAUGAUAAAAUAAAAAAUAUACUAAAACACAGAAGGACAAAGUGCAAACUUUUGAACCAUAGAAUGACAAAGUAAAAAUGAAUUAAACUACAAAAGGCAAAAUGCAACAUUUUAAAUCAGGGGAUAACAAAGUAAAAAUGAACUAAAUCACAAAGAGAGUUUACAACUACUGUAUUUUCAACCGUAUAUAUUUUAACUAUACUGUAUUUAUAAUUAUAUUUAAACAAAAUGUGAAUGUAAUUCUGAAUUUUUUUAGCUAUAUAAUUAUCAGAGCUGUCAAAUUCAAAAUCACCAUCAAACAGAGACAAGUAAAGCUAAGCUUAGUCCACAGUGUGGCCAAUUGAUGUAGCGAGUUUGGUGUUUUUUGAUUAAAUUAAGAAAGCGACUUGAAGUCAUAGUUUGUGUUUUUUGAUUAAAUUAAGAAAGGGACUUGAAGUCGAGGUAAAAAAAAAAAAGAAAAAAAAAAAAGAAAAAUAAAAAGAAGAAAUCACCGCGUUGACGAGGGAAAAAAAAUAAAACAAUAAAAAAAAAUCUAGGCUGACAAGGGAUGAAAAAAAAAAAUAAAAAGCUAAAUUACAGAAAAUCUUUCUGUCAAUUUCACUUUCUUCCUUGUUAUUCAAAAAUUUACACUUUGACCCCUUAUAAAAUAAAACUGUGACAAAAUAAUCAAAUUGUCCUCAUCUCUUUAGGUUGGGUGUGGAUGGAGAGGUGGGCGAGGGUGAGGCGGCGGAUGCCGGUGAAGGUGUGUACGAGUAGGCGAGGGUGAGGCGGCGGAGGGCGAGGCGGCGCGGCCAAGGUCGGUGAGGAUAGAUGAGGGUUUUAAGGGUAUUUUGAGUAUAAAAAAUAGGAUAUAAAUGGAAUCCUAACGGAACACUAACGGUAGAGGUCAAAGUGAACAUUUUUUAUUUUACAAAGGAACAAAAUAUAGGUUUUUGAAUGACAGGGAGAAAAGUGAAAAAUCGGGUAUUGACAGAAGAAUUUUUAUAAUUUAGCAUAAAAAAAAAGUAAAUUUGAUUUUUACCUGCUUGAUUUAUUAUAUUUUAUUAUGAGAAAUAUUUUGAAAUCCUGCAUUUGGGUACAUUUCUAUAUUAUCAUCUAUACGAGCAGAGGUGUUCAAUUCAAAAUCAUCAUCAAACAGAUACAAGGAAGGGUAGAUAAAUAGUAUGGCCCAUUGAUGUGGUACAUCUUUAAUUGAUUAUACCACUUGCGGUCUACAACAUGCUAUUAUUCUUUUGCUCUCUAAAUAAAAAAAAAACUUGUAAUUGAAUAACAAUUAAAUCAAGCAGAACACUCUCUUAGUGUAAAUGGAACCCAAAAUUUUUUAGAUAUGAAAAUAUUGGUAGAGCUGUCCAAUUCAAAAUCACGAUCAAAGCGGGGCUUGAUAGAUAGUGUGAUCCAUUCACGUGGCGUAGCUUUGGUUAGUACUUAUGAUCUCAAAAAAAAAUUGUGAUUGAAUAACAACUACAUCAAUCCAAACACGUGCGUAAAUGAAAUCCCAAAUUUUCUAAGCUGAAAAUGUUAAUAAAGCUAUCGAGUUCAAAAUCACGAUCAAAACGGGUUUUGAUGGACAGUGUAACCCAUUGACGUGGCAUAGCUUUGGUGUUUCUUGUGAUUAAAUUAAGAAAGCUACUUAGCUUGAGAUGUCCCGCCCAAAAUCAUGAUAAUAACAUACAAGCACAAAAGUUAUGCGGGGUUGAUAAAGAGUGUUGCCCAUUCACUAAUAAACGUAUUUCACGUAGAGGAGUUGUUUCUGUUAUUUAUUACUAUUAUUUUUUUGGUUGAACUUUAAAAUUGCCAUGGUGUGAUAUUACACAUUUUUAUUUUAGGGACAAUUGUUUAUAUACUUUUGAAAAGUUUUCGAUUUUUUAAUUUACUAAUCUUAGAAGGCUAAUAUUGAAAAUAUCCUUUUCAUGUUUCAACCUAUUUCAAAUAUACUCUUAGAGUUAAAAUCUGUUAAUAAACUCUAUUAUUUCUAUAAAAUUACUAUUUUGCCCUUUCAAAUAUACCCUUCUACCGGCACCGACUUUUCUUAUUUGUCCUUAAGUAAGGGGCACAAAAACUAUUUUGCUUUUUGGUCUUUUCAAAUAUACCCUUCUACAAUCACCAAUAUUUCUUAUUUGCUCUUAAGUUAAGGGCAAAAGUGACAUUUUAAUUUUUUUUAACUGUGAUAGAUAUUUAACUCACGUUUAACCCAAGUUAACUUAACGGGUAAUAACUUUAGGGGUAUUUUGGAAUAACGGACAAACAUAUGAAGGAUAUAUUGGAAAGAAAAAAAAAGUAGGAAUAAAUAAAAUAUUUUUGAAGUUUUGAGAGGUAUAUAAGCAAUUAUCCCUUUAUUUUACUCCCUGUAUAGGGUUGAAGGUAGAGUUCGUGGCACUAUUUUUUAGGGAAGCCACUUAUUCUAGGAGUAUUCUAUUUCUAACGUGUUUAACUUUAUUAAUUUUUUAGGUUUGAUCACCGUCUAAAAUAUUAUAUUUUGAUUAAGAGAUUUAGUCAAAUUCUGGGAGUGUUACAUAUUUUUUCUUUAAGUUCUGAUAUUCUUGUCAAGCUUAAAUAUAUUCACAAGUAUCUGGCGAUGUAAAAUUCAUCUCGCUAGCCUCCGCCGAGCUUAUGGGGAGUUGCACUCUACCAACAACAGUCAUCAGCCAGAGAGCCGCGCUCUAUCCGCUGUAUGAUCUUAACUCAAAUUGAUCUUACACUUUCGGCUAGUGAUUGGCUUUUAUAUCAACUGUGACGCUCCAUUUUUUAGGAAGUCACCCAUAUUUUAGAACUACUACAGACAUGUCAUGUUUAACCUUCUUAAUUUUUUGGAUCUAGACAACAUCAAAAAUAGUAUAACCAAAUUUAGAUGUUUAGUCCUAUUAUAUCUUAUAUGUAGGACUAUUUCAAAUCUUAGAGGUGUCACAGAUUUUUUAUCAAAGGAGAGUAAAAAAUGGUAAAAUCUUUUGUCGCAUGUAACAUCACUUUGUUUAAUAAAAGAAAACUUUCAAAUUUUAUAUUUUGAAUGAUAUUUAUAGUUGACAAUUAUCUCUGCAAUAUAUGUAGCUAGAUAUUUUAUUUGACAACAAAAUAUAAAUCUUAAGAAAACUUUAUGCUCGCUUUUUCAUUUUGUUUAAAUGAUGUUUCAUAUUUGAUCAGGAUUCAACAUAAUCUAACAAAUAAAUAUAUGAAUGAAAAAAAUCAUCAACCAAAACAUUCUAUAAUAUAAUUUUAAUUGUAAAAAGAAAAAGUUAAAAUUGACACGAAAUAAGAUGUUCAGCAGGCUAGCCACAUAAGUGAAUUUUAUUUUAGGUGGAUCAAUUUUAUCAAAUUGACACAAAAUUGAAAUAGAAUAAAAAGAGAAAUUGCAUGAAGACACCAUCAACUAGAGCUAUUUUCGAAAUAACCUCCUGGUUUGUGAAUUUGUUUUUCUAUUGAGAUCCCUGCACUUUUUUUUUUUACAAUUAAAAAUAUCUAAUUAAGUAUAUAUAUAUUUUUAAAAUAACUUAAUUAACCCAAAAAAAUAAAUAAAAAAUUGGAAGUUAAAGAUAGUCAAUUAAAAAAAAAAUCAAAGCGAAUUCUUUUUUAGAUUGACCAAUAGUUGAGUAGCAUCUGUAUACUUUUAUCUUAUAAUCAAAGCGAAUUCUUUUUUAGAUUGACCAAUUUCAUCUAUGCCCCAGUAAAACUUACAAAUAUCAUAAAUACCCUUAUAAAUUUGAUAAUAUCAUAAUUACCCCUUUAAAUGUCUACUUUCUUUCAAAAAUGCCCAAACAGUUAAGUCCUCACUCCUCAGUCUCUUGGUUACUUUUACUUUAGUUAGGUUAAAAUUAAAAAUGAGUUAAAGAUUGAAAUGUCUAUUUUACUAUUGACUAUUAUAAAUGGGUUUCAAAAUAAACGGAAUUUCAAAAUCAUCCCUCACUUUUUAAAUCUUCUUUGUUUAUAUAAAGAUAAAUAUUUAAUAAUAGUUUGAAUAAAUAUACUAAUAUUUAACUCAGAUCAGUUAAAUAUUUAAUUAUAAUAAAUUUUAUUUAUUUAUUUUUUUGAGAGAUAGGUAGCACGCUACCCGCUUCGUUUAUUUCAUUUAGAAAUAAACUUAGUUGGAGAUGUGAAUCAACUAGAAUUCAAACUUGGGUCUCGGGUACCAACCACCAAGUCCUUUGCCACUUGCGCUAGGGACGGUCGGUUAGCUUGGAUAAGUUAGCUUGGAUACUUAUGUUAGUUUAAAUAGUCAAAUUUGCAUUAUGCAAAAUUUUACUUAUUUUUGAAUUACAAAUUGUUCAAGCGAAUUAUUUUAGAUUAUUUAAAUAUUACAGAAUCUUUUAGUUCAAUAUUUUCGGAUUUGUCUUAGAUUUUCAGGUUUCUUUUACUUCAAUUUAUUUUAGAAUGUAAAAUUUUAAAUUCAUAAAAGUUUGUUUACAUGCUAGUUUGUUGCUAUUCCAAUUGAUUUUCUUACCUUGCAAUAUUUUUAUAGUUGUAUCAAUUAUUUUUCGUUGCUUCUUUCUAAUCUUGUACAUAAUAUUAAAUCAUUUUAUUAUUACUUCAAAUUUGAUAAGUAAUUUUAUACUACAUAAUUGAUGAUAAAGCUUUAUAAUUGUUCAAUCAAUUUAUUCUUCACUCUCUCCCUUUAUAAAAAACUAAAAAAAUUUAGAAGCAUUCAACAAAAUUUAAUAAGAUAAAAAUACUAUUAUUUUAGAUUAGAUUAUACAAAUUUUACAGAAAUCAAUAUGAGAAUCUAACUAAAUGACUUACACAGAUUUCAUAAAUAGGUCUAAAUAAUUAUAGUAAAGAUAUUUUUUAACUAAAUAUCUUAGACAAUAAGUAUGCAUGUUGCUAAAUCCUAAUUAAGAAUUUUAAAUUCGAAGGGUAUUUACAAAAGUUAUAACUUGUUAGUGAGAAUUGGAACAUUUAAAGGGACAAUUAUGAAAAAGCUAAAAUUGGUAUUUGCUUUGCCGUUAGUAUAAAUUUUAACGGAAGUUAUUUUGAAUGGCAGUUUUGAAAGUUUGUGGUAUUUAGAGGAGCAUUUAGGAAAUUUCAAAAUUUUAUAGGGGCAUCUAUGAAAAUAUAUGCUUUUGGAGGGGCACACAGAAAAUUCUUCCUAUAAAAAAUUACCACACUUCACUUGAAAGAAAGAAUGGUCGUGAAUUCUCCCAAUACAUAAAUAGUUUUUUUAGUAAAAAAAAAAAAAAAAAAGUUCUUUUGCUCAAAAACCCCUAUAUUAUUGGUCCACUCAAGAAUGCCUAAAGAACUCCUUUGUAACUUUCCAGUGCGGGGACCGUGGCCGACCUCACUCUCUUAGUUGAAAAAGUCGCAUUUUUCCUCUUCCUAUGCUUUAACUCAUUUUUACUCCACCACCGUAUGGUUCACAAAGUUAUAUUUAAUUAUCAUAUGGUUUAACGUAUUUUUCACUUAGCCAAUCUGUGAGCUUUUAUAAAUGUUCACUUUACUGUUCUAUUUGACAUGGAGUUUUUUUUAGUAAAAUAAAAAUUAAAUCAUAAGAGGAUAAAGUGCAACUCUUCAAACUAUAUAAUUAUAAAGUAAAAAUACCUUAUACCACAACAAAAGACCAAUUUAAAUUUACUUUUUCUUUUUCUUUUUUUUAUUUUUUCAUGCACUAACGAAUUUAUUUGUUUGGACAAAUAUGCGAUAAUUAAAAGCCAAUCUUGACUUUAGUUGACUACUGUUAGUAGUCAAUUAUAUAAUUUUGUUUCAGUUUCCAGUAAGUAGAAAGACCUAUGUAAUUGCCGCGGCAGUUGUAGGUGCUGAGGCAGAGAAAGCAUCAAUAUACUAUUCCGCAUCGGUCUCACAGAAGAGGAAAAAAAAGAGAAGAGAAUAAGAUCAAACCAAUAUGCCUGAGCCCCAACGAGAACGUAUGAACUACGUGUUGCUCGAGGCGUUGAGGAACGGGGCCGAGGAAGCCGUUAGAGCAUUCUUCCCGCAGGAUAAUGCCGAUGAGGCAGGGGGCAGGCGUUGGCGGGGAGUUACCGUAGGUGGAAACUCGGCCCUCCAUAUCGCGGCUGAUUUUCGGCACUUGGAGCUUGCGUCGCUGAUCUGCGCAAGAGACAGCUCCCUUUUGGUGGUGCGCAAUGCCGCGCUCGAGACGCCGGUGCACUGCGCUGCGAGGGCUGGGGCAGACCGAAUUGUAACCCUCUUUACCUGGGAAGCCUGCCGGUGUGAGGAGGCGGUGCUCCGCGCCACGGAUCGGGAAGGGAAGACUGCAUUACAUGCUGCCGCCCAAGAAGGCCAUGUGAAGGUGGCGGAAGUUUUGAUGUCUGCGGAUCCUGGGCUGGCGGCUAUCGACGACAAUAAUGGUGUAUCUCCACUUUAUGCUGCCGUGCUGUCGGGAUCGCCGAAACUUGUUCAGGUCCUGAUAGGAUCCCAUGCUGACGGAGGGGACAGACCAGAGGCAUCCUAUGCCGGACCUAACGGGCAAACUGCACUGCAUGCAGCCGCCAUGAUCAGUCUAGGCGCCGCCAUGAACGGAGGAGUGGGUAAUUGACCUUAUUUAACUCGUGCCAUUUUUUUAAAUACAUAGUUUGUUAGAAUUUGACUUGAUAUGAAGUAAUCUGAAUAGAAGUUAAAAUCCAAUUAAACUAGGAUUGCGAGUUCAAUAACAGAAAUUUAAUUGGGUUAGAUAUCUAAUUUACUACCAAUUUAUACUGGCAUCAUGUGAUACGGAUCGGAUGUAACACAUACUAGACUCUGGCACUAUAUAUCUAUGAAUCUGUACUUCUAUCUAUACUUCUAUCUAUAUCUAUAUGCGUAAAAGAAUUCUUAUAAUAAUAAACGGAAUAAAAAAAAAUUGCUCCCAACGGUUAUGAUUGGUUUAUUUAAAAAUAUAUCUUAAAUAAGAAUAAACGGUUAUGAUUAAUCUGUUUAUAUCAAUCUACAAAUCCAAUCCUAUAAACCAUUAUGAUUAAUUAUUUAAAAACAUAUCUCAAAUAAAAUGAACGAUCAUGAUCAAUCUGUUAAAAAAUAGCAUUCUUAUCCAUCUAUUUUGUAUUAAAAUUUAAAUUUGAGUCUAAAUCGUAAAUUAAAUUAAAUUAAAUUAUUUACAUCAAAUUUGAAUUAACAAUUAAAAUUUUUUAAUUACAGUAGAUCAAAAUUAAAAUUAAAAUUUUAAAGUAAAUGUGAAUUAAAUUUUGAUGUUUUUAGUUUAAAACACAUGCUUAGAUUUUAAAUUCAUUAGAAUUCAAAAAUAUAUAUAAAAAUAUUUAAUAUAUAUUUUAAAAUAAGAAUAAUAUAGGAUAUUGCAGAUAUUUUCUGGUAAAAUAUAACAUAUAAAUAAAAAAAAUAGAAAAAUAUUCCUUACGGAGGUUAUGUUCAGUUUGUUAAAAAAAUAUCUUAAAUAAAAAUGAACAGUUAUGAUUAAUUUGUUAAAAAAUAGAAUUUCUAUUUAUCUAUAAAUCUAAUCUUACGAAUUGUUAUCAUCAAUUCAUAAAAAAAAAUAUCUUAAAUAAAAAUGAACAGUUGUGAUCAAUCUUUUUUACAAAAAAGCAUUCCUAUCCAUCUAUUUUGCAUUAAAAUUAAAAAUUGAGUUUAAAUCGUGAAUUAAAUUAAAUUUUUGACAUCAAAUUUGAAUUAACAAUUAAAAAAUUUUAAUUGUUGAUCAAAAAUUAAAUUUUAAAUUUUAAAGUAAAUGUGAAUUAUAUUUUGAUACUUUUAGUUUAAAAUACAUACUUAAAUUUUAGAUUCAUCAAAAAUAAAAAAUAUAUAUAAAAUAUUCAAUUUAUAUAAAAAAAUUAAUAUAGGAUAUUGCAAAUAUUUUUUAAUAAAAUGUAACAUAUGAAUUUAUACAAGAUAUUUUUUACUAUAAAUUAAUUAAAUUUUAAAUUUUAAAGUAAAUGUGGAUUAUAUUUUGAUACUUUUUGUUUAAAACACAUACUUAAAUUUUAGAUUAAUGAGAAAUAAAAAAAAUCUAAAAAUAUUCAAUAUAUAUAUAAAAAAAGAACAAUAUAUGAUAUUGCACAUAUUUUCUAAUAAAAUAUAAAAUAUGUGUAAUGACCCAGCCUAAUAGCAACAAUAACUCGUUGGGCCCAACUACCCAAUCACAUCCUCAUUCCUAUCUAAAGGAGACUCGUCUCGCUAGCCUUAUCAUUCAGACUCCGGCAUAGCCUAUCACCUUAUUUUUCCGACCUUGGCUCAGCCGAGACUCGCCACACAUUUCCGACUGGUGAACUGGCUCUGAUACGAAAUGUAACGAUCCAGCCCACUAGCAACAAUAACUAAAUUGGGCCAAACUACCGGUCCAAAAUGCUGAAGCCCAGUUAUUAUUACUAGUGUUUAAGUCUCUUAUAUACUCAAUCACAUUCCCAUUCCUAUCCGAUGUGGGAUUAUUGGGGUGUGACAAUAUGAAUUUAUAAAAUAUAAAUUUUAUUAUAAUUUUUUGGAUAAAUAUAAAGUAUAAAUUUAUAUUGAUUUGAAAUAAAUUAAAAUAAUUGUUACGCGUAUUUGCACACAUGCUAGUCUAUACUAUAUAUAAAAGUAUAUAUUUUAAAUUUCGGUCCGUAGACAUACCCAUUUCAAAAUUUCUCUUUUUUCGUAUGCAAAAUAAAUAGUAUAACGAAAAAAAAUUUUAGUUCAUCUUUUUUCUUCAACUAUUAAUAUUUUAUUUUUUAUUAAAUAUUUUUCUCACUCAAUAUCUUUUCUUUUUAAGAUAAAUAUUUAUGUAUUAUAUUUGUUCUUUCUACUAAUAUUUUGUUGUUAUAUUAAAUUUUUAAUUUUGUACUUUUAGUUUAAAAUAUAUAUUUAAAAUUUUGAUUUGUCAGAAUUAAAAUAAUAUACAAAAAUAUUAAACGUAUAUCUAUAUCUACACUAUAUAUAAAUUUUAUGAAAUAAAAAAUAGAACUAUAUAAUUAUUGUUGGCAAUGUGUCACGCCCCGGAUUCCUCAUUUCUUCGGGCACACUAACAGACCCGCCGUAUACAUAGAAAUUUUUUCUGCAUACGAAGCGAAGCUUUACCUGUACUCAUACAAUACUACAUGCCAGUAGUAUAGAGCUGCUAAAAGAAACAAUUAUGAAAUAGAAGUUCACUAUACAUACAUCAAAUCCAGGUGUACAAAAAGCUCGCUCCAGCGAGAUACAACACAGUAUGUAUAAGAACUCAAAAACUACAACUACCUGUAGCUGGUACUCCUCUAGCUCAGCAACUGGUCAGGAAGGGCUCUAACUCGCAACACCCUUUCCACGAUCAGACUCAGCAGCAGCAGCAGUAGCCGAAGAAGAAGGCUCUGCAAAAAAUUCCAACAACUGAGCGUGAGAACUACAGCAAAAAGAAGUAGUCCUCAGUGGGUAUCGCUACCGAUCUCAACGGCUCAUCCACUAAAUCUACAGAUGUAAACAAGUAUAGUAAGAAAGCUGAAAUAAAUCUACAGUUAAAAGCCACUAUACUAAUAUGCUCUAACCCAAAACAAUCUGUAGAAAAUAAAAAUCCUGACCGAAUCUCACUCGGGACUGUAAACAUACCCGUCCUAGGGACUGUGAGCACACCCGUCCCGCCUGUUGAAGCUAUACAGCUACCUCCACACUAAGCAGUCCGUGGAGAGCAAGUCCAAUCAGGACACAACGACACUAACGCAAAAGCACAAAGUCCGACUCCGGAGUGGUACUCGUGGGCGCUACCCAACCGAGUAUGCAAGCGUGUCUCUGUCGAGCUCAAUCAGGCUCUCGCAGGCUAUAGUCAAGUAAAUAGGGUCAAACAACUGAACUCACAUACUCUCGGCACAAUCUGAUGCAAAACAACAAUCUGGGUCCACCGUCAAUCUCAACGGCACCCAACAAUCCGGAACAGCCUAAACACUGUUGUAAAAAUACACUCGGCACCUCAGCACGAGCGUAAAAGUAUUCUAUAUUAUUCUGGGUAUCCACCGCCCACAAACUGCGGCGAUACAAACAAACUACGGCCCCUAGAGCUAAAUCUGGUAGUUUGAUCAAAUGACGGUGUAGAAACGUCAGUUUUCUCCUAAGUCAAAUCUAAGUCCAACAUGCAUAAUUUAGCUAAUUUUUCUAAGCUCCAAUUCAAGUUCAAAACAUGCAAUUCCAAGAAUCGAGCUAAAGAAUAUACUAAACGAAGCUAAAAACACAUGUUGUCGACACAUAUAGAAUUAGGAGGAAACCCAUAGAAUUCGAUAAGCAUAACAUUAACCCACCUCAAAAGCUAAUCCAACUACGGCGAGAAGUCGAGAGAAGGGAAAACACGCACUCGCCCGGCCUCCAACGGUGCAACCGCGACGUCCACACGCUCGAACGGCUCUCCGGCGCAACGUCGACGUCAAUCCGAGCCCAACCCGUCGUGGCCUCCACAAACAUAUAAUUAACACUUGAGAGAGAAAUAUAAUUAAGCCACCUACUCUCCCUCAGGUGGAUAAAUACGAGGGAGAGUUGGUGGUGUGGAUAACCACAACAAGAAGACAUCCAUACCCUUCACCAACUCCAUUUACAGCUGGAGUACCAGUACCAGCCCGAUGUCGCACCAGUACUCAAUAUUGAAACCUGCACUUUGCAGAUUUCAAUAUCAAACUCUGCUCUCGCGUUGUACUGAGUCAGUUUUGCUUCAACCUGCACUUUGCAGAUUUCAAUAUCAAACUCUGCUCUCGCGUUGUACUGAGUCAGUUUUGCUUCUAUUUCGCGCCAAAACGAUUCUGACUUGUCCCGGCACUCUCCAGAGCUGUCGACAAGUCUCAAAUGUUGAACUCCAGGGAUACUACACCCUCCUCCACCACAAAAAGUUUCGUCCUCGAAACUUAAGCAUAUCUCAACUCUGAGCAUCGAACAAGUAGGGAUAGGAUUCCCACAUCACCGACUCAAGCUCCCAGGUAGCCUCUCGCUCCUUGUAAUGACUCCACUGCACUUUUACAUAAGGAAUGACCCGGUUGCGCAAUUCAUUCGUUUCACGAGCCAGAAUUCGCACCGGUCUUUCCUCAUAUCUCAAGUCCUCGCCAAGCUCCAGUGAAGUGAAGUCGAUCACGUGCGAGGGAUCAAACACGUACUUCCUCAAAGCCGAGACGUGGAAAAUAUCAUGGAUACCGGCCAGUCGUGGGAGUAAAGCAAUCCUGUAGGCAACUGGUCCAACUCGCUCCAAUACCUUAAAAGGGCCUACAAAGCGUGGGCUGAGCUUUCCGCGCACUCCAAAUCUGCGUAUGACUCUGGACGGCGAGACUUUGAGAAAUACAUGAUCUCCAACCUGGAACUCUAAGUCUCGUCUCCUGGUAUCGGCGUAUCUCCUCUGGCGGCUCUGAGCUUUCAAAAGGUGUCGUCGCACUGCUCUAACCUUUUUCUCAACCUCUAGCAAGAUCUUAGGUCCCAGCAUUUUUCUUUCACCGAUAUCACUCCAAAAUAAAGGGGAUUGACAUCUGCGUCCAUACAACGCCUCAAACGGAGCCAUCUGAAUGCUCGUUUGAUAGCUGUUGUUGUACGAAAACUCAGCCAGUCUCAAAUGUCGAUGCCAUCCUCUUCCAAAGUCCAGGACGCAUGCCCUCAGCAUGUUCUCUAGAGUCUGAAUGGUCCGCUCUGACUGACCAUCUGUCUGUGAGUGAAACGCCGUGUUGAAAUGCAACUGUGUACCCAAGGCUGUCUGAAGACUCCUCCAAAAGUGCGACACAAACCUCGGAUCCCUGUUUGAAACGAUCGAGAUCGGUACUCCAUGCAAUCUCACGAUCUCAUCCAGAUAUAGCUGAGCGAGCCUCUCCCUGGACCAGGUGGUUUGAACUGGUAGGAAGUGAGCAGAUUUAGUCAGACUUUCCACUAUCACCCAAAUAGCAUCGAAACCACCCUGUGCUCUAGGCAACCCCACGGCAAAGUCCAUCAUGAUCUGCUCCCAUUUCCACUCGGGCACUGACAGACUCUGAAACUUGCCAGCAAGUACCUGAUGCUUUGCUUUCACCUGUUGGCAAGUGAAACACUGAGCCACAUAUUUGCUAAUGUCUCUCUUCAUUCCAUUCCACCAGAACUGUGCCUUUAAAUCCUUAUACAUCUUGGUUCCACCAGGGUGAACCGUAUAAGGUGAAUAAUGAGCCUCUCUCAAAAUAUCCUCUCGUAUCUCUGAAUCCAUAGGCACACACAGUCGGUCCCUGUACCGCAGUACUCCGAACUGUCCACAACAAAACCCUCUGCAUGUCCCCUCUCUAGCUGCUUUCGAAUUCUCAACAAGUGCGGGUCUCCACUUUAUUUCUCUCGGAUCCUAUCCAACAGAGUGGGUUCAAAACCAUAGACAUCAGUCUUGCAAUAGACCCAGGGGACAUAAUCUCGAGCCUCAACCGCUGCAGCUCCUCGAGUAACGGCCUCUGCUGAGUAAUCAACAUGCUUAAGCUCUGCACUGCCUUCCUGCUCAACGCAUCUGCCACCACAUUCGUCUUGCCGGGAUGAUACUGAAUACUAAUAUCAUAGUCCUUUAGUAACUCCAACCACCGGCGUUGCCUCAGAUUCAACUCCCUCUGAGUGAACAGAUACUUGAGACUUUUAUGAUCGGUGAAAAUCUCGCAGUGCUCGCCAUACAAGUAAUGCCGCCACAACUUCAAAGCAAGGACUACCGUAGUAAGCUCCAAGUCAUGCGUAGGAUAAUUCUUCUCGUAAUCCUUCAAUUGCCGUGAAGCAUGAGUAAUUACCCUACCAUGCUGCAUCAGCACACAGCCCAAACCACUGUGCGAUGCAUCACUGUAGAUCACAAAUCCUUCCCCUAUCACUGGAAGGGCAAGGAUAGGAGCUGACAUCAACCUCUGUCUCAACUCAUCAAAGCUCCUCUGACAGUCCUCACUCCAGAUAAACCGAAUCCCCUUUCGAGUCAAUCGAGUGAGGGGUGUGGAAAGCUUUCCAAAGCCUUCCACAAACCGACGGUAAUAUCCUGCUAGUCAAACAAAAUUUCUCACUUCCGUCACCGUCGUCGGUAUGGGCCAAUCCCGAAUAGCAUCAAUCUUCUUCGGGUUCACUGCUACUCCAUCUGCAGAAAUUACAUGGCCUAAGAAAGAAACCUCCCGCAGCCAGAACUCGCACUUCUUCAACGUAGUAUACAACUUCUUCUCCUUCAGAAGUUGCAGCACAAUCCUCAAGUGCUUCUCGUACUCGGCGUCGCUCCAGAAGUACAUCAAGAUAUCAUUGAUGAGGACCACCACAAAUCUAUCCAAGAACAGCUUGAACACUCUGUUCAUCAAGUCCAUAAAUACGGCAAGGGCAUUCGCCAAUUCAAAAGGCAUCACUGUAACUCAUAAUGCCCGUACCGAGUUCGAAAAGCCGUCUUGGGAACAUCGUCGGCCCUCACCCUCAACUGGUGGUAACCUGACUGGAAAUCAAUUUUCGAAAAGACACAAGAUCCUUGCAGCUGAUUAAACAUAUCAUCAAUGCGUGGCAAAGGAUACUUGUUCUUGAUGAUCACUUUAUUCAGCUCCCGGUAAUCCACACACAAUCUAAGUGAAUUAUCCUUUUUUUUCACGAAUAACACCGGCGCUCCCCAAGGCGACAUACUGGGUCUCACAUAUCACUUAUCCAUCAGAAUUUGAAGCUGCGCCUUUAGCUUUCUCAGCUCUGCCGGUGCGAUCCGAUAAGAUACCUUCGAGAUUGGUGCAGUUCCAGGAACUACAUCAAUUACAAACUCAAUCUCCCUCUCUGGCAGCAUCGUCGUCAACUCCGAGGGAAACAUAUCUGGAAACUUGCGGACUACAGGGAUAUUCUCGAGUCCCGGCGACGCCGUAGACACCUCUACAACCGUCGCCAGAAAAGCGAUACACCCUCUACUCAUCAUCUGUCGAGCCCUCGCCAACGAAAUCCAAGUAGCAAACAGCAUACUCCUGUAGCCCCUAAAAGUAAACUUCUCCUGGCCUGGCUCGCGGAACGUCACAGUUCUUGCUCCACAAUCUAUAGUAGCAUAGUAUCGCGCAAGCCAAUCCAUGCCGAGCACAAUGUCAAAGUCCUGCAGCUGCCCUAACACCAACAGGUCUGCGGGCAUGAUCCACGAAUCAAGCUGCACUGGACACGACCAACAACACUCUGCAACCUGUAAAACAUGGUCGGGGAUCUGCACGUCUCGUACCUGUGACAAUAGUCCUAACUCUAGAUCAUGCAACAAUGCAAAUGCUCGGCUAACAAAAGAAUAUGAUGCACCGGUAUCAAAAAGAGUACGAGCUCUAAUGUCGGAAAUCAAAAUGAUACCUGCCACCACUCGAUCGGCUGCUGUAGAGUCGUCUACCUGAGCUGCGUAGACUCUGCCACUCGGAGCCUGCUGUCGCCGCUCACACUGACGCGGCACAGACGUUCUUUCCUCCUGGCGGUGACUCGGCGGUGCCCCGUAAGACUGCUGAGGUACCGGCUAUACUAUUGCUGACGAUGGUGCUAGUGAUGCUGCUCGGGGACAGGCUGCCCUCAUAUGCCUUGGCUGUCCACAUCCAUAGCAUUGACUCUCUCGCUGCUAGCACUGUCGAGGCUAGUGUGGUCCCCCACAAAUCACAUACUGCGGCGACUCUUGCGACUACCUCUGCUGACGAGAUCCUCCAGAACGCUUACGCCCCGAAGACCCACGACCCUGAAAGCGUGAUCGUGGAGGUCUCGGCGAACGCCUGCUACUCGACUGUCCUCCGUCGUCUGGAGCCGAGCGCUUCCUGUCCUGACUCUGCCUCUGUAACUGAGUCUGCUCACGGAUCGAAGUAUCACCUCUCUCGACCGAAAGAGCCUACUCCAUAGACGCGUCCAAGGUCCUCAACCUCGGCUCCUGAACAAAUCUGAAGAUCUCUGGCGUCAAUCCUUUCUCAAAAAGGUAAACCCUGUGCGCCUCAUCCCUGGCCACAAAUAGGACAUAGUUUAGGAGCUGAGUAAACUUACGGAUACACUCUUGAACUGGUUGAUCCCACUGCUGAAGCCUCCUCAUAUCCUCCUCUAUCUUCUGCUUUAUACUGUUGAAAAAAUACAUCCCAUACAGCAUGCCACAGAACUCAUCCCAUCGCAUCUGCAAAGCCACCAACCCGUAGUCUCGCCUCACCCUCUUCCUCCAAGAAUGUGCAUCACCUGCCAAGCAGUGAACUCUCAUAUGUACCUGCUCCCGCUCAGGAAUGAACAGAUCCUCAAACAAUUUCUCCAUUGCGCUGACCCAACCCUCAACAAUCCAGGCCUCAGUACCUUUGCCAUCAAAAGUCGGCGGAUCAAAGCGACGAAAGCGGGCAAGUCUCUCAGCCAUUCGCUUCUGCUCAGCCUCAGUCAGCUGUGGGGCCUCACCAAAAGCUGCAACUGGCACUUGGGGAACUGCCGCUGGUGGGGGUACUGCUGCAGCUGGUGCUACCACUGGAGUAGGCGGAGGUGGAACUUGCUGCUUUGGUACUGUACUCUGCGGCGGAGCUAACCUCUCAUAUAUCCUCUGCAAUAACUCUUCCUGCUGCCUCGUCACCUCUGUCAAGGUAGCCAACUGUUCCCUCACAUCAGGGGGUGCGCUCUCCUCUGGUCGCGCACUCGGCUCUGCCUGCUCAGGCAUCUCGGGAGGUGCGGCACGCUCCCGCGUCGACUGUGCACGCUCCCGCAACGACGGUCGACCACGACGUCGAUAUAUAGCUGCCAAGAAAAGAAAAGAGGGUGAGAUAAAACACAAACACUCUCGACCCAAUCAAACGAAAGUGUGGAAGGCGGCCCCCCUGUUUCUCCUCAGAAUUAUGUCGUCUGCAGCCAACAUAAUUUUUCUGGACCGAACAGGUACUCCUCCAAUCACUCACUCCGCUCUAGGAGGAGUUAGAACAAUCAAUCAUUGACUUUCGCGAUAAAUGACGCCUCUCGUGUCUUGCCCUUCUAAGGUUUGCCGAAUUUAGGGUUCCUAGGUCCCAACGACUUAAUACUAAGCUCUGAUACCAAAGUAAUCUGUCACGCCCCGGAUUACUUGUUUCCCCGGGCACGCCGACAAAUCCGCUGUAUAUAAAUUUUUUUUUUCUGUAUACGAAGCGAUAGCUGUACCUGUAAAUAUACAAUACUACACCUAGUAGUAUAGAGCUGCUAAAAGAACUAAAGUAUAUAAAAACAGAAGUCCACUAUACAAACAUACAUCCAGGUAAACAAAAUAUUCGCUCCAGCGAGAUACAACAACAGUAUGUAUAUGAACUCAAAACUACCACUACCUGUAGCUGGUACACUCUAGGUCAGCAGCAACUGGAAAGGGAUCUAACUCGUGACUACCUUUUCAUGGUCCAAAUCAGCAGCAGCAGCAGCCGAAGAAGAAGGCUCUGGAAAAGAUUCCAACAACUGGACGUGAGAACUAGUACAAAAAGAAGUAGCUUUCAGUGCGUACUGCUACCGACAUCAACGGCUCACCCACUAAGUCUACAGAUGUAAACAAGUAUAGUAAAAAGCUGGAAAUAAAUCUACAGCUAUAUGCACCUAUACUAUCUCGGUCUAACACCCUCUAUCUGUAGAAAAGUACAAUCUGACCCAAUCUCACUAGGGACUGUAAAAAUAUCCGUCCCAGGGACUGUGAACACACCUGUCCCGCCUGUCGAAGCUAUACUAUCUGACACCAAACCAGGUCGUUAGUGGAGAACAAGUCCAACCAGGACAAAAUGACACCAACGCAAAAGCACAAAGCCCAACUCUGGAGUGGCACUCGUGGGUGCUACCCAACCGAGUAUGCAAGCAUGUCUCUGUCGAGCUCAAUCCGGCUCUCACAGGCUAUAGUCAAGUAAGCAGGGUCUAACAGGUCUAACAACCAAAACACACGUGCCCUCAACACAAUCUGAUGUAAAAACCGUAAUCUGGGUCUACCGUCAACCCCAACGACACCCGACAAUUUGGAACAGUCUGAACAACAUUGUAAAAAUAAGAUCGGCAUUCCAGCACGAGCAUAAAAUUAUUCUACACUAUUCUGGGUAUCCACCGCCCACAAACUGCGGCGAUACAAACAAACUACGGCUCUUAGAGCUAAAUCUGGUAGUUUCAGAAUAUGACGGUGUAGAAUCGAUAGUUUUCUCCUAAGUCAAAUUUCAAGUUCAACAUGUAUAAUUUAUCUAAAUCUCUACUAUAUGCUCCAAAUUCAGAUUUCAAUAAAUAAGCAAAUCGAUGAAUUCGAGCUAAACUAACAUGAUAUUCAAGACCAAAAAUAUACAUGUUGACAUCAACUAAACUUAGGAGGAAAUCCGUAGAAUUCGGUAAGCAUAUCAUUAACCCACCUCAAAAACUAAUCCACGACAGCGAGAAGUGGAUAGGAGAAAAAAUUCCGCGCUCGCUUGGCCUCCAACGGCGCUAACACGACGCACGCACUCGACUCGCUCGCUCGCUCGCCUCGCUCGUAAGAAUGAAGCCAAGUUGUCCCUGCUAAUUAAUUAACUCACUCGUGGUAAUAAAAAAAAAAACAACAAAAGGAGAGGAUAAGGACUCCACCGCCUAAUUAAACAACGUGGACUCCACCGCCUAAUUAAACAAAAUUGCCCACAAGCCCCUAUAUAACUAGGUAUUCAACUUUAAUCCUCUACAAUAUAAAUCUUGAGUUUCAAAGUCCGUUUUUACGUCUAUUUUGCGUAAAACAUCUCCAACUUAAUCAAGCAUAAACUUAUACUGUAAUCUUGCAAAUUUGCUAAGGUUCAGUAUAUCACACUCUCAUAGGCUAUAGUCAAGUAAACAGGGCCUAACUGGUCUAACAACCAAAACACACGUGCCUUCGGCACAAUCUAAUGCAAAAACAGUAAUCUGGAUCCACCGUCAACCUCGACGGCACCUGACAAUCUGGAACAGUUUGAACAAUACUGGAAAAAUAAGCUCGGCAUCCUAGCACGAGCGUAAUAUUAUUCUACACUAUUCUGGGUAUCCACCGCCCACAAACUGUGGCGAUACAAACAAACUACGGCUCCUAGAGCUAAAUCUGAUAGUUUGAUCAAAUGGCGGGGUAGAAACAUCAGUUUUCUCCUAAGUCAAAUCCAAGUCCAACAUACAUAAUUUAGCUAAUAUUCUAAGUUCCAAUUCAAGUUCAAAAGUAUGCAAUUCCAAGAAUCGAGCUAAACAAUAGACUAAACGAAACUAAAAACACAUGUUGUCGACACAUAUAGAAUUAGGAGGAAAUCCGUAGAAUCCAGUAAGCAUCACUUUGACCCACCUCGAAACGCUAAUCCAAAUCCGGCAAGAAGUCGAUAGAAGCGGAACCACGCGCUCGCCCGGCCUCCAAUCGGCACACCUACGACGAACGUACGUUCGAAUGGCACCGCGGUGCAACGUCGACGUCGCUCCGAGCUCCAACCGCGACCUCCACCACGUACGGCUCAAGCUAGAGAGAGAGGAAAUUAGAGAAGUGCAAUACCUCACUAAUUAAGUUGCUACGUGCACUUAAAUAUGGAGUUGAUAAGCAUGGGGUAGGUGGAAUCCUUAUCCAUCUCAAAAUUUACAAUAAUAAUCCUCACCAACUCGAAGCCAAGAAUACUACAAUUUAAUUAAUUUAUAUUAUAUAAUAAAAUUUAAGUAUAAAUAUAUUGUCAUAAAUAUUAAUUUCGAUAUAAUAUUUAAAUUAAUAUAGUUAUUUAUAUAUCUAUUUAUCUAAUAAAAUAAAGAGAACAAAGUUGUUCUUAGUUUUUCUAGGUAUAAUUUUUAAUGUGUUGUUUCAUAACAAUCUGUUUUGAUCGGAGCAAUCUGUUCUUCCCAGUUCUUUCACUAUUCGGAUACAAAUUGGGGGAUAUCUUGUCUUGUUUCGGAAUAUCUCUCGUAUCAAACACAGCUUUAGGUUUUGACCGAUGGAGUUUAAAAAACCAUAUAAACUAUUCCAUUCAUAUUAAAAUAAAAGAAAAUUUGCAUAUCUAUUGAUCAAUUAAUUCAUUAUUAUAUUCAAUCAUGUUAAUUCAAUUGUGAUAACUUUUUGGUGUAUAUUUUGUUUCGGAAAGUUGUCCCAAUUCUGGUAAUUUAAAUUUGUUUCGCUUUAUGUUUUGGAGGUGCCCACAGCAUUUUCUUCUUCUUUUCAUCCUCAAUUUAUCGAAUUUAUAUAUCAUAUUAACUUUCAAUUUAUUAAAUUUAUUUAACUUUAAAUUUAAAAUUUUAUCUAAUUCAAAAUUCAAGUAUUAAAAUUUACUUUCUCUCUUUUAUGAAUUAGAAAUAGAAAUUUAAAAGUUAAUUGUAAACUUUUGGGAGAGUUAAUUCUAAUUUAUCAGAAUUUUAAAUUUACACCUUUAUUUCCAAAAUAUACUUCUAAACCUCAAAUCUCAUUGGUAAAUCUUAGGAUUAGGCCUAUAUUUAAAAAAACAUUUCAGAAAUCAAUCAGAACAUUUCAAUCAACCAAAAAUAUAGAUGUUUUUAAAAUUUUAAAAGAUUAUAUUAGCUAUUAUCCUUAUUCUAGAAAAUUCUCAAAUUCACGUUAAUUCCAAUUACAUCUCUUUCUUUGCUUUUUUUUUUUGUUGUGUACUCUCUCUUUUAUUUUGAUUUUUCUCUUUUAUUUUGAUUUCUUCCUACUAUCCAAACAUUUCGCUUAAUGGCCAAUUUGCAUAAAAAAUCCACCAGUUUUGAGCUUUUGCAUAAGUAGGCUGCAUUUUUGAAUUUUGCAGAUUUAGGUUGGAUUUUCAUAAAAUCGAUCAAAAUACCUUUGUUCUUUCUCUUCUUUUUUUCUCUCGUUCUUUUCUCUCUCUCUCCCAAGAGGGCGGCGGAGGUGGAGGUGGCCCGCCUUGCCUCUAUCCGGCGCACCUUUAUCCUCGACCGCGCACCCCCCCGCCUUCCUCGCCUCCGACUCCGUCGUGGCCGUGCCGCGACCUUUUUGUUUUUUUGUUCUCUCCGACCCUCUUCCAUUGCUUCCCCAAUUCUUUACGACAGUAAAGAGGAUAACGCAGCGUCCUCUUACUCUCCUUUUUUUCUCUUAUUCUUUUUNUUAAGACAGUAAAGAAGGAAACACUAUAUUCUCUUCCUCUCCUUUUUUUUCUUUCGUUCUCUUUUUUUUUUCUCUUCGACCCCCCUCCACUGCCUCCGCGACCCUCCACAAUAGUAACGAAAAUAGCACCGCGUCCUCUUAUUCUGCAUUGGCUGACGCAGGCACCGACACCGGCGCUGGAGAAGGAGGACUCGGUGAGAGCACGGGUGAGAGUGGAGCUAAAAAAAAAUAUAGAAAAUAAAUAAAACAAAAAGAAUAAAAAAUAAAAUACAGAUAAAGAAAAUUAUUUUUUUCUAUAAGAAAAAUAAAGAAUCAGAUAGAAAAGAAGAAGAUAAUGAAGAUGUACUGUUUCAGAGAAAAGUUGCACUGUUUUAAAAAAAAUAUACUUUUUGAAUAAAAGUUGCAUUCUUUGAACGAAACUUGUACUAUUUGACGAAAAUUACACUGUUUCUUCUCUUCCACACGAAAAUGAAGAGAAAGGAGGAGGAAGAAGAGGAGAAAUAGUAUAAUUUUCGUCUAAAUAGUGUAACUUUCGUUCAAAGAGUGCAACUUUUAUUCAGAAAAGUUUAAUUUUUCUCUCAAAUAGUGUAAUUUCUUUUUAUAACAGUGCAACGUCUCUCUGAAAUAGUGUAACUUCAUCAUCUUUUCUUUUCGAUUCUUUAUUUUUCUUAUAACUUUUUUUCACCCUCUCCGACCCUCAUCGUCUCCUCUGCCGUCUCCGCGGUCGUCUGCGACGGUAACAAGGGCGGCGCCACAUCCUCUUCUUCCAUCUCCUCCUCCGCCAGUGCCGGUGGCUGUCAGCAGCGGUAAUGAGGGCGGCGCCGCCUCCUCCGCCUCCGCCUUCGCCAGCGCUAGCGCCGGAGAAAGAGAAGGAGAACUCGAAGUGGCGAGCACCUCCUCGACAACGACCUCAUCGCCUCUGCCUGCUCCUCCCUCAUUGGGGUUCACUUCGAGUUCUCCUUUUCCUUCUCUUUCUCCGAUACCGGUGGAGGCGGAGGAGGAGGCGGAGGAGGCGGCACCGCUCUCGUUACCGUCGCCGAGGGCCGCUGGCGCUGGCGAAGGAGGAGAUGGAGGAAGAGAAUGUGGCGCCGUCCUCGUUACCGUCUUCGAGGACCAUGGAGGCGGUGGAGGAGGCAAUGAAGGUCGAAGAGGGUGAAAAGAAGUUACAAGAAAAAUAAAGAAUCAGAGAGAAAGAAAAAGAUGAUAAAGUUACACUAUUUCAUAGGAAUAGUGCAUCUUUAUCAUCCUUUUCUUUUCUCUCCGAUUCUUUAUUUUUCUUGUAAAAAAAAUAUUUUUUUAUAUUUUAUUCUUUAUUUUUUUAUUUUAUUUAUUUUCUAUUUUUUUUCCUUGCCUCCGCUUGCUUCGAGUCCUCCUUCUCCGACGUCAAUGUUGGUGCCUGCGCCGACUAAGGCUGAGUAAGAGUACGUGGCGCUGUCUCCGUUACCGUUAUGGAGAGUUGCGGAGGUGGUGAACGGGGGUCGAAGAGAAAAAAAAAAGAACGAGAGAAAAAAGGAGAGGACGAGUACGCAACGUUACCUUCUUUACUGUAGUAAAGAGCCGAGAAGACGAUAGAGGAGGGUCAAAGAGAAAAAAAACAGGGUGGCAGCGCGGUCUCAGCGGGGUCGGAGGCGAGGAAUGCUGUCACGCCCCGGAUUACACUUUCCCCGGGCACGCCGACAAAUCCGCCGUAUACAAAGGAAUUUCCCCUGUAUACGAAGCGUUAGCUGUACCUGUAAAUCAAACACUAGUACGAACAGUAGUAGAGAGCUGCUAGAGAAAACAGAAGCUAAACAAACUGAGUUUCAUAUACAUAGUCCAAAUCCAAAAUACAAAGCUACUCGCACUGGCGAGUUAAGUCCACUAUGUACAUAAACUCGAAACAAAACAUCUACCUGCAGUAGGGGCACCUCUAGCUCAGCACGUCGGGUAGGGCUCUAACUCGCGACGCCCUUACCUCGAUCCUGAUACGCGGAAGGCGCAGCAGCCGAAACCUGUGGCUCUGCAAAACGGGGGUAACAACUGGGCGUGAGAACUACUAUAAAAACAAGUAGUCCUCAGUGGGUACCGCCCAAAACAACAUCGGUCCACCCACUAAGUCUACAGGAGGGAGCAAGAAUAGUAGGAAAAGCAGGAAACAAACUCAACCGCUACAAAUCACUAUACUAUCAUGCUCUACACUAACCAACUGUAGGAAAUGUCAAAUCUGACCCAAUCCAAUCGGGACUGUAGACAUACCCGUCCCUGGGACUGUGAACACACCCGUCCCUGCCCCGUUGCGACUAUCGGGCUCUAUCCACACUAACUGGUCCGUGGAGAGCAAGUCCAACUGGCAUGAGCGACACCAACGCAAAAGCACAAGCCUGACUCCGGAGUGGCACUCGUGGGCGCUACCCAACCGAGUAUGCAGCGUAUCUCUGUCGAGCUCAAUCAGGCUCCAACUAGCCAAAGUCAAGUAAUCGACUUAAACUGGUCUAACAACCAACAGGUAACGUGCCCUCGGCACAAUCUGACGCCAAAAAGGCGAUACGGUCCACCGUCAACUCUGACGGCACCCAACAGUCCGAAACGGCCUGAACGACCCUGCAAAAAUUCACUCGGCGAACCAGCACGAGUGUAAAUACAUUCUAAACUACCCAAGGUAUCCAUUGCACUGACUCGGCAACGAUACAAUCGAACACGGCUCCUAGAGCUAAAUCUGGUAGUUUAAGCAUAUGACGGGUCAAAACGCAGGUUUUCUCCUAAGUCAAAUUUCAAGUCCAACAUGUAUAAUUUAAAUAUUCAUUUCAGCAUGCUUCUACAUUCAUAUUACAUUCAAAAUGCUAAUCGAUGAAUUAAAGCAUGAUUUACAACACUCGAACUAUACACGUUGACUAACAUGCACUUAGGAGCGAAACCGAUGAAACACCCACCUCUAAUGCAAUUCCUGGCAGCAAUAGGGUCUCGGAUCCUCAAGCAACACUGCUGGAAACCUCUUCAAACCAGCAACAAAGCCCCUUAAGAUCUGGAUUUACAAUGCACCCAAAAAUCCAAUAAAAAUCAUCAAAAUCCACAAUUCAGUCCAAGUACACAGCAGCAGAGAAGAGAAGGGUUUCGACCAAGCUAACCUUCACCAAAAUCCACAAGUAAGGACUUCGUGGAUUCUUCUCGCAGUCCCGAAACCAACGAAUCAAGUCUCGACGAAAUCCGAUGCUCCUACGUCGAGUACGAGCUGAAAUACUAACAGUCGACGAUGAAUUUCAGCAAAACAGCAUUUAAGCUUAAAUAUCUCAAUUCCAAUGUCAAAACUCACCAAACGAACUCCAAAUCAGGUGGAGAGGGUCCCAAUUCCAGUACUGGGUGAUAGGGAAAAUAACUCAACUCCACAAAGCCCCUGCUUCCCAAGUUCACCCCAAGAAAACAUCAAAAAUUGGCAAAUUCUGUCCAAAGCAACAACAGCAGAGGAAAACCUGAGUUCGACUGAGCUAACCUUCACCAAAUUCUGCAAAUUAGGGCUUCGUGGAUUCCUCUGGAAGUCAAGAAUCCAGCAAACCAAGUUUCGUUGAAAUCCGACCUUCCUACGUCACGCACGAGCCAAAACACUGGAGGUCGUCGCUGAAGAACUGCAAAAUCAGCACCUUGCAAUUCUUGGAGAGGUGGAUCUUGAUGCAAAUUGGAAAGAUUUGAGGGAUUUGGGAGUAAAAUCUAAGUCCUCUGUGAAGAACAGGUAAAAGAGCUCAAAGGGGGCGCUUCUCAGCUAUUUAUAGGCUGCUGGAUAGAUCAGAUAAGCCCCAGGAAAAAUAGCCGCAAUCCAGUGCCCCUGCAGAAACGGGCGUUUCUGGGCGCCCGGAACCAUGUUCUGGGCGACCAGAACAUCCGGCCUGCACAAAAUGGGCCCCUCGGACUCUCCGCCCGCGGUGUGCUGCGCCCGUAAACGGCACCGGCGGAACUCACCUACCGCCCUGCCACGCGUCGAAGCAAGCGAUAUUCACGAGGUGAAAUUUCCGGACCCACUUCUGGGCGCCCGGAACAUGGGAUCCGAAUUGGCUUCCAGUUUCAGUUAAAAUCAACACUCGUUUCUGGGCGACCCUAACAAUGUUCUGGGCGCCCGAAUCUGGCAAAACUCCAGUUUUGCUUAUUUGAGUGCGCCGAGUCCAAUUCUGCAUCCAAUUCGUGCAGAAUUGACUCCGACUCAGUCCGACACUCUCCAGAGAUGUCGACCAGUCUAUAAUACUGAAGCCAAUCCUAUCCAAAGCUCAGGAACACUACAUCCUCCCCCACUACAAAAAGUUUCGUCCGCGAAACUGUACACAUACCUCAAUCCAGGGCCUCAAACAGGUAGGGGUAGGACUCCUUCAUCACCGCCUCCGGCUCCCAAGUCGCCUCCCGCUCCUCGUGAUUACUCCACUGCACCUUUACAAAGGGUAUGACCCGGUUGCGCAAUUCCCUCGACUCACGAGCCAGAAUCCGCACCGGUCGCUCCUCGUAGCUCAGGUCCUCGCCAAUCUCAAGCGGAGUGAAGUCGAUCACGUGGGAGGGGUCGAACACAUAUUUCCUCAAAGCCGAGACGUGGAACACAUCAUGAAUGCCGGCUAGCCGUGGUGGUAGAGCAAUCCUGUAAGCAACUGGCCCGACUCGCUCCAAUACCUCGAAAGGGCCUACAAAACGUGGACUGAGCUUUCCACGUACACCAAAUCGGCGAAUCCCUCUGGACGGCGAGACUUUAAGAAAAACAUGAUCUCCCACCUGGAACUCCAAGUCUCGUCUCCGGGUAUCAGCAUAGCUCCUCUGUCGACUCUGGGCUGCUAAUAUGUGCCGUCGCGCCUCUUUUACCUUUUCCUCAGCCUCAAUCAGAAUCUCAGGCCCAAGCGUCCUCCUCUCACCCACAUCACUCCAAAACAAAGGGGAUCGACAUCUGCGUCCAUACAACGCCUCAAACGGAGCCAUCCGGAUGCUCGCUUGAUAGCUGUUGUUGUACGCAAACUCAACCAGUCUCAAAUGCCGAUACCACCCUCCUCCAAAGUCCAAGACACAUGCCCUCAGCAUGUCCUCUAGAGUCUGAAUGGUCCGCUCUGACUGACCAUCUGUCUGUGGGUGAAAUGCUGUGCUGAACUGCAACUGAGUGCCCAAGGCCGUCUGAAGACUCCUCCAGAAGUGCGAUACGAACCUCGGGUCCCGGUCGGAUACUAUCGAAGUGGGCACGCCAUGCAACCUCACUAUCUCAUCCAAGUACAACUGAGCGAGUCUCUCUCUGGACCAAGUGGUCUGCACUGGUAAGAAGUGAGCAGACUUGGUCAGUCUGUCCACUAUCACCCAAAUCGCAUCAAAACCACCCUGUGCUCUCGGCAAUCCGACGACAAAGUCCAUCGUGAUCUGCUCCCAUUUCCACUCGGGCACUGGUAGACUCUGAAGCUUGCCAGCAGGUACCUGAUGCUCGGCCUUUACCUGUUGACAAGUCAGACACUGAGCCACAAAUCUACCAAUGUCCCUCUUCAUUCCAUUCCACCAAAACUGAGCCUUUAAAUCCUUAUACAUUUUGGUUCCACCGGGGUGAACCGUAUAAGGUGAACAGUGAGCCUCUCUCAAGAUGUCCUCUCGGAUCUCUGAAUCCAUAGGUACACACAGUCGGUCCCUGUACCGCAGUACUCCCGAACUGUCCACAACAAAGCCCUCGGCCUGUCCCCUCUCAAGCUGCUCUCGAAUCCUCGACAAGUGUGGAUCCCCACUCUGUUUCUCUCGAAUCCUAUCUAACAGAGUGGGCUGCAAGAUCAUAGACAUCAAUCUCGCAGUAAAUCCAGGGGACACUACCUCGAGUCCCAGCCGUCUCAGCUCCUCGAGUAACGGUCUCUGCCGAGUGAUCAACAUACUCAAGCUCUGCACUGCCUUCCUGCUCAACGCAUCUGCCACCACAUUCGCCUUGCCGGGAUGAUACUGGAUACUGAUGUCAUAAUCCUUCAGCAACUCCAACCACCGGCGCUGUCUCAAAUUCAACUCCUUUUGGGUGAACAGAUACUUGAGACUUUUAUGAUCAGUAAAAAUCUCGCAGUGCUCGCCGUACAAGUAAUGCCGCCAGAGCUUCAAAGCAAAAACCACCGCGGCAAGCUCCAAGUCAUGCGUAGGGUAAUUCUUCUCAUAAUCCUUUAACUGCCGUGAAGCAUAAGCAAUCACCCUACCAUGCUGCAUCAGCACGCAACCAAGUCCACUGUGCGAUGCAUCACUGUAGAUCACAAAUCCUUCGCCCAUAACAGGAAGGGCAAGGAUAGGAGCCGACAUCAACCUCAAUCUCAACUCGUCAAAGCUCCUCUGACAGUCGUCGCUCCAGACAAAACGAAUCCCCUUCCGCGUCAAGCGCGUGAGGGGUGUGGAAAGCUUCGCAAAGCCUUCCACAAACCGACGGUAAUAUCCUGCCAGUCCCAGGAAGCUCCGUACCUCAGUAACCGUCGUCGGUCUAGGCCAAUCUCGAAUCGCCUCAAUCUUCUUCGGGUCCACUGCUACGCCCUCAGCUGAAAUCACGUGGCCCAAGAAAGCAACCUCCCGUAGCCAGAACUCGCACUUCUUUAACUUGGCAUACAACUUCUUCUCGCGCAGAAGCUGUAGCACAAUCCUCAAGUGCUCCUCAUGCUCAGCAUCACUCCGGGAGUAAAUCAGGAUAUCGUCGAUGAAGACUACCACAAACCUAUCCAAGAACGGCUUGAACACUCUGUUCAUCAAAUCCAUGAAUGCGGCAGGGGCAUUCGUCAAUCCAAAAGGCAUCACCGUGAACUCAUAAUGCCCGUACCGAGUCCGAAAAGCCGUCUUGGGAACAUCCUCGGCCCUCACCCUCAGCUGGUGGUAACCUGACUGGAGAUCAAUCUUCGAAAAGACACAAGAUCCUUGCAGCUGAUCGAAUAGAUCAUCAAUGCGCGGCAGAGGAUACUUGUUCUUGAUGGUCACUUUAUUCAGCUCCCGGUAAUCCACACAUAACCUGAGCGAACCAUCCUUCUUCUUUACAAAUAACACCGGCGCUCCCCAAGGCGACACACUGGGUCUCACAAACCCUCUAUCCAUCAGAUCCUGAAGUUGCGCCUUUAGCUCUCUCAGCUCUGCCGGUGCCAUCCUGUAAGGUACCUUUGAGAUUGGUGCAGUUCCAGGAACUACAUCAAUCACAAACUCAAUCUCCCUCUCCGGCGGCAAUGUCGUCAACUCAGGGGGAAACACAUCCGAAAACUCGCGGACUACUGGGAUGUCCUCGAGUCUCGGCGCCGCCGUAGGUACCUCCACAACUGUCGCUAGGAAAGCGAUACACCCACUGCUCAGCAUCUGUCGAGCCCUCGCCGAAGAUAUCCAGGUGGCAAACAGCGUGCUCCUGCAGCCUCUGAAAGUAAACUCCUCCUGGCCUGGCUCGCGGAACGUCACCGUCCUCGCUCCACAGUCGAUCGUAGCAUAGUACCGCGCCAGCCAAUCCAUACCGAGCACUACGUCGAAGUCCUGCAGCUGCCCUAACACCAACAGGUCUGCGGGCAUGAUCCAAGAGUCUAACUGCACCGGACAGGACCAACAACACUCUGUAACCUGCAAGACAUGGUCGGGGAUCUGCACCUCUCGUGCCUGAGACAACGCUCCUAACUCUAGACCAUGCAACAAUGCAAAUGCUCGGCUAACAAAGGAAUGCGAUGCACCGGUAUCAAAAAGAGUGCGAACUCUAAUGCCAGAAAUCAAAGUGAUACCUGCCACCACUCGGUCGGCUGCUGAAGAGUCCUCCACCUGAGCUGCAUAGACCCUGCCACUCGGAGCCUGCUGUCGCCGCUCACUCGACCGCGGCACAGACGAUCUGUCCUCCUGGCGGUAGCUCGGUGCUGCUCCGUAAGACUGCUGUGGUGCUGGUGGUGCCGAAGCUGAUGACGGUGCUGGAGAUGCUGCUCGGGGACAAGCUGCCCUCAUGUGUCCCGGCUGACCACAUCCGUAGCACCUGCCCUCUCUCUGCUCGCACUGCCGAGGCCAGUGUGGUCCCCCGCAGAUCACACACUGUGGCGUCCUCUGAGUCUGCCCCUGCUGACGGGAUCCCCUGGAACGCUGACGCCCCGAAGACCCACGACCCUGAGAACGUGAUCGUGGAGGUCUCGGCGGACGUCUGCUGCUCGACUGCCCUCCGUCAUCUGGAAAGGGGCGCUUCCUGUCCUGACCCUGCCCCACGGCCUGAGUCCUCUCCUGCAGCGACACCUCACCUCUCUCCACCCAUAGGGCCUGCUCUAUGGACGCAUCCAGGGUCCUCGACCUCUGCGCCCGCACUAACCUGAAGAUGUCCGGUCUCAGCCCCUGCUCGAACAUGUAUACUCUGUGCGCCUCGUCUCUGGCCGCAAAUGGUACACAGUUCAGGAGUCGAGUAAACUCCCGAACGUACUCCUGCACUGGGCGAUCUCCCUGCUGAAGCCUCCUCAAAUCCUCCUCGAGCUUCUGCUUCACACUGUUGGGAAAGAACAUCCCAAACAGCAUUCCACAGAACUCGUCCCAACUCAGCUGCGCCGCCACUAGCCCCUGGUCUCGCCUCGUCCUCCGCCACCAGUCAUGAGCAUCACCUGCUA
RNAcentral lists this long non-coding RNA (63008 nucleotides) under Ananas comosus (pineapple). RNAcentral describes it as "long non-coding RNA (ACOM_LNC031140)". Lineage: Eukaryota; Viridiplantae; Streptophyta; Magnoliopsida; Poales; Bromeliaceae. The record is from RNAcentral.